This 49239-nucleotide long non-coding RNA is filed under the name Ananas comosus (pineapple). RNAcentral describes it as "long non-coding RNA (ACOM_LNC030626)". The record is from RNAcentral. Lineage: Eukaryota; Viridiplantae; Streptophyta; Magnoliopsida; Poales; Bromeliaceae.
CGAACGUACUCCUGCACUGGGCGAUCUCCCUGCUGAAGCCUCCUCAAAUCCUCCUCGAGCUUCUGCUUCACACUGUUGGGAAAGAACAUCCCAAACAGCAUUCCACAGAACUCAUCCCAACUCAGCUGCGCCGCCACUAGCCCCUGGUCUCGCCUCGUUCUCCGCCACCAGUCAUGAUCAUCACCUGCUAGACAGUGUACUCCCAGGGGUACCUGCUCCCCCUCUGGAACGAACAGAUCCUCGAAUAACUUCUCCAUCGCACUGACCCAUCCCUCAACAAUCCAGGCCUCAGUGCUUCUGCCAUCGAAGAUCGGUGGAUCAAAUCGGCAAAAACGAGCUAACCUCUCCGUCCACCGCUCCUGCUCGGCCUCAGUCAACGGUACUGGCCCCCUAGCAGGCGUAACUGGCGCUACUGGAACUGCUGCCGAUGGAGGAACUGCUGCAGCUGGUGCUGUCACUGGGGUAGUCGGGGGUGGAACUGGCGACUCUGGUGCCCUCGGUACAGAACUCGGUGGCUGAGCUAUCCUCUCACACAACCUCUGCAAUAGCUCCCCCUGCUGUCUCGUCACCUCGGUCAGGGCAGCUAACUGUGCACUCAAAUCAGGAGGUGCGCUAGUCUCCGGUCGGGCCCUCUGCUAAACAACUGGGGGUGCACUCGCCUCUGCCUGCUCAGGCAUCUCGGGAGAUCUAGCACGAUCCUGCGCCAACUGCGCACGCUCCCGCAACGACGGUCGACCUCGGCGACGAUACAUAACUGAAAGGAACAAAUCGGGGUCAGUUGAAACACAAACACUCUUGACCCAAUCAACGAAAGUCUGGAAGGCGGUCCCUGUUUCCCUCCAAAAUUAUGUCGUCUGCAGCCAACAUAAUUUCUCAGGCCGAAACAGGAACUCCUUCAGUCACUCACUCUACUAUAAGAGGAGUUAGAACAAAUAAUCAUUGACUUUUGCAAUUAAAUUAUGCCUCUCGCGUCCUGCUUUCCUAAGGUUUGCCAAACUUAGGUUUCCUAGGUCCCAACGACCUACAGCAAAGAUCUGAUACCAACUUAAUCUGUCACGCCCCGGAUUACACGUUCCCCGGGCACGCCGACAAAUCCGCCGUAUACAAAUAAAUUUUUCCUGUAUACGAAGCGAUAGCUGUACCUGUAAAUCAAACACUACUACGAAAAGUAGUAGAGAGCUGCUAGAGAAAACAGAAGCUAAAUAAAACAGAGUUUCAUAUACAUAGUUCAGAUCCAAAAUACAGAGCUACUCGCACUGGCGAGUUAAGUCAACUAUGUACAUAAACUCGAAACAAAACAUCUACCUGCAGUAGGGCACCUCUAGCUCAGUGCGUCGGGUAGGGCUCUAACUCGCGAUGCCCUUGCCUCGAUCCUGGUCCGCAGACGGUGCAGCAGCCGGCACCUGUGGCUCUGCAAAAACAUAGGUAACAACUGGGCGUGAGAACUACUGUAAAAACAAGUAGUCCUCAGUGGGUACCGCCCAAAACAACAUCGGUCACCCACUAAGUCUACAGAAGGGAGCUAAGAUAGAAGGAAAGCAGGAAUCAUACUCUACCGCUAUCAUCCACUACACUAUCAUGCUCUACACUAACCAACUGUAGAAAAUGUCAAAUCUGACCCAAUCCAAUCGGGACUGUAAGCAUACCCGUCCCCGGGACUGUGAAUACACCCGUCCCUGCCCCGUUGCGACUAUCAAGCUCUAUCCACACUAACUGGUCCGUGGAGAGCAAGUCCAACUGGCAUGAGCGACACCAACGCAAAAGCACAAGCCUGACUCCGGAGUGGCACUCGUGGGCGCUACCCAACCGAGUAUGCAGCGUAUCUCUGUCGAGCUCAAUCAGGCUCCAACUAGCCAAGGUCAAGUGAUCGACUCAAACUGGUCAAACAACCAACAGGUAACGUGCCCUCGGCACAAUCUGACGCCAAAAAGGCGAUACGGGUCCACCGUCAACUCUGACGGCACCCAACAGUCCGAAACGACCUGAACAACCCUGUAAAAAUCUACUCGGCGAACCAGCACGAGUGUAAAUACAUUCUAAACUACCUGGAGUACUCGUCUCGAAGAAACUGCGACAGUACAAUUUUCUAACGGCUCCUAGAGCUAAAUCAGGUAGUUAAAACUGGUGACAGGCCCAAAUCGCAAGUUUUCUCCUAAUUCAAUUUCCAAGUCCAACAUAUAUAAUCUAUUUACUUGAUAAAAUAUGCUCGAAAAUUCAGAUUUUACAUUCUAAAGAUAAUCCAUGAAUUUGAGCUAAACUUUAAUUACCGAAAUCAAGAUCUAUACAUGUCGACCAAUAAGAACUUAGGAGUAAAGCCGAUGUAACCCACCUAAAAAUGCAAAUCCUUGGCAGCGAAGGACUCCCACUGGUGUAGAGCAACUUGCUGGAUCAAACGCACAGCUCCGAGUCCAGAAAUCGUCCACGCUCGAGCUCCACACGACAAUAAAUCACCGUUUCAGUCCCGAAUUUCAGCAGUGAGGUACAACAGGGAUUCGACCAAGCUUACCUUCACCAAAUCCAGCAAGUUAGGGCUUCGUGGAUUCCUCUCGUAGUCCUGAAUCCAACGAGCCAAGUCUCGUCGCAAUCCGAUGCUCCUACGUCGAGAACGAGCCAAAAUACAAACAGUCGACGGUGAAAUUCUGCGAAAACAGCACUUAAGCUCUAAUUUGAUGAUACCCGGAUUAAUCGAAGCCACUCCAACAGACACUCACCUCGACAACACCGGGCACCGCUGCGACAGCAAAAACGGCGAAAUCCUCCUCUCGCCCGGCCUUCUCGCGCUGUAACGGCAGCAACCGUAUCCCCGGACGGCUCCGCGGCGCGACGUCGGCAACGAAAGCUCCAACCGAGAUCCUCCCUAGCCUAAGAUCUGUUGGAGAGUGAGAGAGAGGAAGUAGCAACAGAGGAACUCCCUCUCUCUGUCCUCAUAAGGCUAAAUAGAGAGAGAGAGGGCUGGUGAUACAAACGAGGGAGAGAAAAGACCAAAACACCCUCUCACCUACCCUGGUGUACCGGUACACGGGAUUGCGUACCGGUACAGGAAGCAACCCGAGAGCAGAUUGCGCGGCAUCAGUAUAGUGUACCGGUACGCCAUGAUGGCUGUACCGGUACAGCAAGCAGAAAAAUCUGCUAUUUUGCAGAUUUCUUCGCUAAAAGCCGCCCUCGCGUCGCACAGAGUCCGUUUUGCAUCAAUUUGACGCCAACGCGACUAGGACUUGUCCCGACACUCUCCAGAGCUGCCGACAAGCCUCCACAACUGAACACCAGGGAUCUCACACUUUGACUUUGUGGACCCUUCGUAGGUCUGGUCGAUGGCUUUGUACAUCUUAGGGACAAACGCGACAGAGAUACAUGUGGGUAUUUCGAUCCGAAGUCGGUCUAGUGGUGCACGCUCGCUGAUGUUCCCUCCACCUUCACUUUCUAUACUUCUUGCAUUACUUGUGAUUGUUAAGCCUGACACCAUACGACCCUAUUGCAUGUUGCUCUACUUAGUUAUUUUUAUAUUCACUUAUUGUGAUCCACAAGUAAAGCAAUUAUUUACUAUCCCAUGGAUUGUGACAUCCGUUGUGACCUAGUUGGUCAGUUAUGUGACUCUCGUUGUUUGAUGAUCUAUUUGGUCAGUAUAACUUGAGGGGUUUAAUUGUUGGCUACUUGCCGACAACUAUUGAUCAUAUUUGCAUCGAUCGUCAUUGCUCAUACGCAUUUCACGUACACCAGCGAUUUGGACACCGCAACGGUGUUCUUUUUCGAAAAUGUGGUCAGACUUCCGACCCGUGAACCCAGAAACUUAUGCUACCGCAAUGGUGUUCUUUCCGAAAAAUUGAUCGGACUUCCACCAUUACUCGUACGCUUUUUACGUACACCAGCGAUUUGGCCACCGUAACGGUGUUUUUUUUUUCGAAAAAGUGGUCAAACUUCCGACCUGUGAGCCCAAGAACUUAUACUAGGGUUAUAUGCUAUUUAGAGCGGCGUGACACUUGCCUGAGGUCUUUAGACCGACACGGCGGAUCUGGAUUGGUUAUUUUGAUGAAAAGGACUUGUAUAAAUGUUAACUUGGGAGAUGUAUCAUUUAUAUAAUGAUGUAUGAAAAAGAUGUUAGAAAAUUGCGUACGGUAAAACGCAGCGGAAAAAGAAAUCAAACAAAUUUGAUUUUGAAAAACUCUCGAGAUCUAAUCUCAAAAACCACGCAAUUAGGAUCCCUCAUGUUCUUUAAGAUUAAAGGAGAAAAGUAAGAUCGAAUCAUUACUUUUUUCGCGGAUAAAUUCUUGCCUCAAUUUGAUAAUCGUGGAAUCGGGUUCUCUUGAAGCCGCACACGCGUCCGGCCUCUAUAGGUAUCCACAUGAGGUUCUUGAUUUGAUCGAUGUCCUCACCGGGGUGCUAGCUCCCUUGCAAAAGGACGUCUUUCUUGCUAGAUGAUGGAAGAGAGAAGAGAGGAUAGAUGACGGCUUGGGUUUUCUAAAAACUCCCGUAUAUUAUAUAUAGGAAUAUAAUCCUAUUCCUAAUAAUAUAAUGACAAUUAAGGAUAAGUAUAAAUCUAGAUUUAAAUUUAUCUUUUCCUUAAUUGGUUAGAUCGAUCAAAUCCUAAUUUGAUUCGACUUGAAUUUUAUAUUAAUUUGAUCUUAUCAAAUUAAUAAUGCAACAUUUGCACAUAAGUCCUCUUAUAAUUUACUAACUAUUAGUAAGUCCUCUCUUGUAACAUUUACACUUUAAUACCACUAAUUUGUAACAAUUACAAAUUAGUCCAAUUAUCAACAUAUUGACAAUUAGGUCCUCCGGCGAUUCAAUAAUCGCGAUCUAGCUAUCCGAUCAAUCACAACCUCUUAUGUGUGUGACCCCAUAGGUUCUAUUCUAUCUGGUAGUGAGAUAUAUUUUGAUCACUAUCAACAAUAUCACUGAAACUCCUUUCAAUGGAUUAGAACAAUUCCAACUCAGCCCAAUGAGAAUUAUCGAUCAUCUAGAUAAUUCUCAUGAGUCUCACAAUCCACCAGUGACGCCUAGCAGCAUGUAGUGGCAUUCCAGUAGAAUGGAAUACUGAACCUCUUGGUGCAGUUACCGUGUGAUACAAUCCUUCUAUCAUGAGUCCCGACUAGACGGAGGUUAUGGAAUAACUCGUCAAACCCCAUCGUCUGUCAUAUGUUAAAUUUAUUCGACUCGAGUUUCUAAUAUCGGAAACCCUUUUCCGCUAUUUAUUCUGCCCUGGCCAAGGUCUUCUAAACUCGGUCUCAUAAAUCACAUAGGACUAACACCCCUAUCUACCAAGGGAGAUAGAUUCCAUCUAAGUGCGCACCCUAUUCCUACAAUGAACCUACUGCAGCCAACAUGCACCGCAAGGACCCGAAUGGCUAGGGACCAAGUGUAUGUACAGUCAAACUACAGUAACCUCAUUGUGAAUAGCCGAGGCACCGCAGGUCAAAGGACCAGUCACACUACUGCAACAAUUGAGUAAGUCACUGACGAGUGAGUAGACAUCCAAGUGACUUCUCGCGUUGGUCACGCUCGGUACCCUUGUUCUCUAACAACCACCUGCAUAUUCGCUUCAGUGUCCCCACACUGUCGACUCGAAACUCGUCUACCCUGAAAGGGAAGCGACUUAUGCACCAAUCUCAUUGGAUCAAUCACCGUCCCCGUGAUGAUCCAUUGAUCGGGAGCAUUUAGGAAUUAAUCACCAAUGACACAUGUCUCAAAUUCUCAACACUUGAGAAUAUAUGUCAUCAUCUUAUUAAUUCCUUGGACGAUUCAUGGACACAUACACAACAUGAAUGGAAAUAAAAACCCAAAGUUAUUCAUAAUAUUUUAAAAUCAAAUACAAAAUUAUGUCCUAGAAAGAAUACAUGUGUCGGCCUGGUUGGCUUCUAGGGCAUACAUCUAACAAAAGAUAGUUGUAUUUUGGUUAAAGUAAUCAAAGUUCAAUGUAUGGAUGUAAUAGUUAGAAUUUACUUUCACUUGCUUGGUUACUUGCUCUCGUGAAAGUCAUGUGUAUUGAUGUUUUUUCUAAGCAACUCAUAAUACAUGCUACUGUUGUUGUGGUUGAGCCUUGGGCGAACAGGGGAGAUUCUAUCCGUUCGGCGUCUGUGCGCGUACCCGAACCGACCAAAUUGGCUGUCACAGGGCAUGACAGUAAGUGAUUAGGCAAGAUACAUGUACAACUACCGCUACUGUUAGUAAAAUGCAACAAAAGAUGAACAUAAGGGGUACAACUAAUGCCACAGGAGUCCACUACCUAGGGCGCUAUGCCCUUGCCGCGACCCUCCACCACCCCGCUCGUGCUAGGAUCCGCAAAAAGAGUAGGGUGAGAACUACAAGAAGUUCCUAGUAGGUUCGGCCACCGACCCCACCGACUUUCCCACUAGAUCUAAUCAGGCAUAAGCAGAGAAAGAAAUAGAUAGAUAACCAAUUCUAAACUAAUGCAACUACUAUGUAUGUACAUGAAACGGAGCAAUACAUAUCAUGCAUGCAGUUUUCGUUUGCCUUUAUCUUGUCACGCCCCGGAUAUCACGUUCCUCGGGCACGCCGACAAAUCCGCCGUAUACAAAGAAAUUUUCCCUGUAUACGAAGGGUCAAAAGUACCUGUAGAUAUGCAAUACUACAAACAGUAGGAUAGAGCUGCUCAAUAAACAAAAGCUAAACCAACUGAGCUUCAUAUACAUAGUUCAGAAUCCAAAAUACAGCGUUACUCGCACUGGCGAGUUAAGUACUAUGUACAUAAGCUCGAAGUAAAACAAUUACCUGUGGUAGGGUGCCUCUAGCUCUGUCAGUCGGGUAGGGCUCUAGCUCACGACGCCCUUGCCUCGAUCCUGGUCCGCGGAUGGUGCAGCAACCGGAACCUGUGGCUCUGCAAAAACAUAGGUAACAACUGGGCGUGAGAACUACUGUAAAAACAAGUAGUCCUCAGUGGGUACCGCCCAAAACAACAUCGGUCCACCCACUAAGUCUACAGAAGGGAGCAAGAGUAGUCAGAAAAGCAGGAAAAUAACUCUACCGCUACCGAUCACUACACUAUCAUGCUCUACACUAACCAACUGUAGGAAAUGUCAAAUCUGACCCAAUCCAAUCGGGACUGUAAGCAUACCCGUCCCCGGGACUGUGAAUACACCCGUCCCUGCCCCGUUGCGACUAUCAGGCUCUAUCCACACUAACUGGUCCGUGGAGAGCAAGUCCAACUGGCAUGAGCGACACCAACGCGAAAGCACAAAGCCUGACUCCGGAGUGGCACUCGUGGGCGCUACCCAACCGAGUAUGCAGCGUAUCUCUGUCGAGCUCAAACAGGCUCCAAUUAGCCAACGUCAAGUGAACAGGGUCAAAACAGGUCUACAAACCAAACCCACGUGCCCUCGGCACAAUCUGUGACCAAAACAAGAAUCUGGGUCCACCGCUAACCCGAACGGCACCCCAACGACCCGAAACAGUCUAAACUCUGCUGAAAAAUAAGCUCGGCAUCUCAGCACGAGCGUAAAUGCCUUCUAAACUACCCCAGGUAUCCAUCGCAACGAUACUGCAACGAUACAAUCGAAUCACGGCUCCUAGAGCUAAAUCUGGUAGUUUAAGCAUAUGACGAUUCCAAUCGUGUGUUUUCCUAAGUCAAUUCCCAGUCCAACAUGUACAUUUAAGAUUUACUAGUCAUGUUCUCAAUACUGAUUAUAUCCAGGAUAGCAUCACGAAUAUCAAGCUACAACAUGAUUACCGAAACUAAAAAUCAUACAUGUUGACGAUUACGGUACUUAGGAAUAAACCGAUGUAAACCCACCUAGAAAGCUAUCCCCUGGCAGCGGUACACUCUCACAGCUGUGGCGCCACCUGCUGGGUCGAUCGUAGCCCUUCGAACCCAAGAAUCGCGCUAACUCCAAGCUCUACACCAAACAAUUCACCGUUUCAGUCUAGUUUUCGCAGCAGUGGAGUACAACAAGGAUUUGACCAAGCUAACCUUCACCAAAAUUCACAAGUAAGGGCGUCUUGGAUUCCUCUCAAAGUCUCGAAUCCAACGAACCAAGUCUUGACGCAAUCCGAUGCUCCUACGUCGAGAACAAGCUGAAAUACUAACAGUCGACGGUGGAUUUCAGCAAACAACAACUAUCCGAGUAGAAGUAGUAAACACUUGCCCAUAAAUCAAGAAAAACUGAAAUACCCACCUCGACAACGCCGAGCACCAGAGUGACAGCGAGAACGGUGAAAAUCCCUGCUCGCCCGACCUCCACGCGCUACCCCGGCGUCAAACACAAGCUCGAACGGCCUCGCGGCGCGACGUCGGCGACAAAACUCCAACCGAGCUCCUCCGUAGCCUAAGAUCGGUUUGGGAGUCAGAGAGAGAGAAAGUAAUAGCAGAGGAACUCCCUCUCUCUGUCCUCACAAGGCUAAAUAGAGAGAGGGAGGGCUGGUGAUACAAACGAGGGAGAGAAAAGACCAAAACACCCUCUCACCUACCCUGGUGUACCGGUACACGGGAUCGCGUACCGGUACAGGAAGCCAACCCGUGAGCAGUCGCGCUCAGCCAAUGUAGUGUACCGGUACACCUCGCUGGCUGUACCGGUACAGCAAGCAGAAAAAUCUGCUAUUUUGCAGAUUUCUUCGCUGAAAGCUGCCCUCGCGUCGCACAGAGUCCGUUUUGCGUCUAUUUGACGCCAACGCGACUCGGACUUGUCCCGACACUCUCCAGAGCUGUCGGCAAGCCUCCACAACUGAACACAAGGGAUCUCACAUAUCUUUACCCAAUCCUUUUGGCUAACCCUUUUUGGUUAACCUCAACUCACCAAACCAAAUCCCUUUUAUCGGAAAGAAUACCGUUCCAACACAACGGGACUGUCUGCUGGGGAGAAUUCCGCUACCGCCCAGUUAGUGACAACUCCGGAGUUCACCGCUUGAUGUGGAGCGACCACCCUGAAGCAUAUCAGACUAUCUGUGAGUAUGAUCUAAUCCUCAACCUUGAGGAUACUAACGUUCAUGAUGUUCUAUUUUCUAGCAUUCCAUGUUUCUAGGUGCUAUUCAAUACAUCUAGUUAUAAUGUCGUCAUGUUUACUAUAUUGUCAUCGUCCAUACCUUGAUUCAUACAUUCAUAGGGUUUCAUAUGCCCAAAGUUCUAUUCAUAAUUCAUAUAUAUUCUAAUAUAAGAAAUUCCACGUGUCAACUAUAUAUGAACAUUAACCCUAAAAUGCAUAAUUAUAUACUUAUACAUACAUGUUCAAUGACGACAUAGACAUAACGAGAAAUUUAAUGGUUUCGGAUAGCACUAUCCACCUUGUAGGGAUGCGGAGAUACGAGAAUCUAAGUCCCGCAAUUUAUCUUCACCUAUUUCCCUCGACCCAAUUUAAUAUUUAAAUAUUUAUUUAAAUUUUAAAUUUUAAAAUUUUAAAAUUUAAUAAUUUAAAAUUGUUAAAUUAAUAUUUUUUAAAAAAAAUUAAAUUUUAAAUUUAAAUUAUAAAAUUUAAAUUUAAAUUUAAAUUUUUAAUUUUUAAUUUUUAAUUUUUAAUUUUAAUUUUUAAUUAUUUAAAUUUUAAAUUUGAUAUUUUUUAUUAGGUUAAUUGCAUACACGUCCCUGCAAACAUGAUGAAUUACAGAUAUAUUCCUACAAAGCUUAACUUUCGUAAGUUGUUCCUUCAAAAGUCCUAAUGUAUUCAGAUAUGUCCCUCUGGUUAGGAUCUGUUAAAGAACUGUUAAUUUUUUAACAGUAUGCUCGUGAAAUGAUAAUUUUGUCCUCACAAAUAUGUCCCUCUAAAACCACAUUUGCAGAAAUGUCCUCUCAAUUUUUACCCUUUUCCUCUUUCUCUUCCUCUUCGGGCAGUGGGAGCGGACGGCGACGGCGGCAGAUCAUCGACGACGACGACAAAGAAGAAGAAGGAGGAGAAGAGGAGGAUACGAAGAAGAAGAAGAAGGAGACGGCGGAGGCCGUUGUCGGCCGGUGGCGUCACCAGGGAUAGCCAGCGGGAGCACCGCCCGAUCUCCCAUAAGGAGGAGGUCGGCAUCGGCGGCGAGCUGCUUGAGGGCGUCGGAGGCAGCAACGAGGUCGCUCUGCGUGCGGAGCUUCCCCGCGGGGGGGAUCGGUGUCACGCCCCGGGGUCCUUUUUUUUUUGUUUGGAAAAACAGCGGAAACGACUAAUUUUUUUUUUUUUAAACACCUGACCCCAGAGUAUGUCAGAUCCUCCACAAAUACAGGGAAUCCACUGUUCACACGGACAGAGUCUCCCCUGUAUUUGCACGGCGUCGCACAAGUACAAUUAUACAACCAGAGUACAACCAGAAUACAACCACAACCAUAUGAACAUACUCAGGCCGGAGCGUUGGUGAGCCCGAAAGGCAUCACCGUGAACUCGUAGUGGCCGUAACGAGUCCGGAAGGCGGUCUUCGGCACAUCCUCAGCCCGGAUCUUAAGCUGAUGGUACCCGGACUGCAGGUCAAUCUUGGAGUACACCGACGAUCCUUGCAGCUGGUCGAAAAGAUCGUCAAUCCUUGGCAGGGGAUACUUGUUCUUCACCGUGACCUUGUUGAGCUCCCGAUAGUCGAUGCACAGACGAAGACUACCAUCCUUCUUCUUGACGAAGAGGACAGGGGCACCCCAGGGAGACACACUAGGUCUGAUGAACCCUCUGUUAAGCAGAUCCUCAAGCUGCGCCUUCAGCUCCUUCAGCUCAGCGAAGGUCAUACGAUAGGGGGCCUUCGAGAUCGGUGCAGUGCCCGGAACAAGCUCGAUGAAGAAUUCGAUCUCCCGGUCCGGAGGCAUUCCUGGAAGCUCGGCUGGAAAAACGUCCGGGAAUUCCCGAACUACAGGAAUCUCCUCCAAAGAUGGUGCAGCUCGGCGAGAUACGUCUACCGAAGCCAGGUAAGCCACACACCCGGCAUUCAACAACCUUUUUGCCCUCGCAGAAGAGAUAGUCGCAGCGAAAAAAGAGCUCUUACAUGCUCGGUAGACGAAUACUUCACCACCAGGCUCGACAAGAAUCACCAUCCUCCGCUCGCAGUCGAUAGUAGCGUGAUGCCUGGUGAACCAGUCCAUCCCAAGCACCAGGUCGAAUUUCUUCAUCGGGAUAACCACCAGAUCAGCUAGAAAAGACCGAUCAUCCAAGAAGACGGGGUACGACGAGAUACAGCUGACAGCAGUAAGAUCACCUCCAGGUGUCUCGAUCCGAAGUGAUACAUCGAGUGGUUACGAGGAAAGACCAUGCUCACAUGCAAAUGAAUGUGAAAUAAAAGAGUGCGAUGCUCCAGUAUCGAAAAUGGCUCUAGCACGAGUAAGGCUGAGGGUGACAAUACCUGCAAGGACGUCGCCACCAGUGCCCUCGUGCUGAGUCAGGGCGAAGACUCUCCUACCAGAUGCCUGGCGCGUCCCCUCAGAUUGCCGAGGUAAGGGGGGACGCCCAGACGAAGCAGCUGCACUCGGGGCUCCGCGGCUCUAUCGGGGUGCAGCCUGGGAGGAGACAGCACUCAAAGAAGUCCCGCCAUCUCUAGGACACUGAGCUCGCAGGUGGCCCAGCUGGCCACAACGGAAACAGUGGUCCCUCCGCUGCGGACAUUCGACCACCCGAUGAGCCUGGCCGCAGAUCACACAGGGUCGAUCGCCCCUCUGCUGGUUGCCGGAGGGCGCACUCUUUGUCGCCUGCUGAGUGCGCAGAUGCUUUGGCGGUUUCUUGCUGAAAGAAGAAGAACCACCACCAGACUUGGCGCGAGAACGCUUCUUAUCGCCUGAUCGCUCGGAUGCAUCGCGAUCAGCUCGAACCUCCUCUGACUUACUCUGCACAAUCAGGGCCCGAUCCAGACACUCAUCGAAGGUCAUCUGUAACGCACUGGACCUUUGCAAUUUGCGAGGUUCGAGUGUAUGGCUUGUGUUAUGAGUUUUUCCAGAUUUUCUGGUGGGUCGUAGACAGUGUUCAGACCUAUGGCUCGUAUCCCGAGAAUUGUGGUAUUUCAAGUAGCACUAAGCUCGCCAAAGUGGAGGACUUAGGCUGCUCUCGGUUUGGAAAUUUCGGGGUGGCGUACCGGUACGCGGUGAUGGCUGUACCGGUACAGCCAUCGACCCUGGCAGUCAGAGCGCCAACCCGAGGCUCGGGUUGGGCUGGUUCGUGGGAUGUGUACCGGUACACAAACCCGUGUACCGGUACGCAGUGCAGUAUGGGCUGUUUCGGGGAGGGGUGUAUUUGCAACUGUUACAACACCUAUAUAGGUGACCCCAGCCCCCUUAGCUGCCCUCUUUGAGCCAUAACCAGUGGAGAUCAAGGUGAGUCUCCCCUUCCCUUGUUUGAUCUCCAUUUUUGGUGGAUUUUAUGGUGUUUUGAUCUCUCCCUUCUCCUCUUCUUUGCUUUUGUUGGGUUUUCUCCAUGGUUGAAGACUUGGAGCUUUGAGAGGAGCUUGUUUGUGAGGAGACCUCCAACCCUAGCUGAUUUUGGACUUGGUUUGAGGCUAUUUAGGAGGUUAGUAACAUGUAUUUUUCGUUUGAUACAUGUUUUGUUGGUUUUGGUUAGAGGGAACCCUAGAUUUUGAAUUUUAGGGUUAGAAAUCGGGAUUUUCGAGUUGAGGCUUUUUGAUCUUGAUUGAUCUUAUUAGAACCAUCUUUUAGGUUGGUUUUGAAGGAUUCUUGCCUCCUUUUGGGGAUCAAGAGAGAUAUUCACCAUUUUCGGUGAGUUUUUCCCACCUUAGCUUGAAAAGCUUAAUGUUUGAGCUAUGUGUUGUUUGUAUGGUUCUUGUGACACUUGUUUCCAUACCUUUAGGGUACUAGGAGAGUGGUGGACACCCUCAUCGGAACAAUCGAAGGGUCCCGUCGUCGUCGGUGGGUUUGACCUAGCCACAUAAUGAGAAAAUCUCAUUGUUGAUGAUUUAAGUAUUGUAAAAUGAAAAAGCAUGCAUAUUCAUGUUAGAUGCAUUAUUUGUGAAUUUUAGAAUGCUUAAAAUGCACAUGUUAUAUACAAUGCAUAUUUGACCUCUAUAUAGUAGAGAGUUUUCAUGUUGGGCUAGGGGCCUACGGUUAGCAUUCUUACAAUUGAUUGAGAUCAUGUUGCAUAUGGUACAUAUGGCAUAUAGAUUACACUCUUGGACUUAGAACGCAUGAUUGACGUGGUUGGACAUAUCGACAUUAAGUGACAUAGGCUAGAGUGUAUACAAAUAGUAAGCUAAUGUCAUAAAGCGGCAUUAGGCUUGGACUAGAUAUGGGUUUAGCAAGCUAAUGUCAUAAAGCGGCAUUAGACUUGAUGGAUAUGCAAAUUGCAUGUGCAUGUUAUUAUUAUGAGAAUUAUGCCAAGUUAAUAGUCGCAUUGGGAAGAACUUACAUGUAGCAAUAUGAGAACACGCUAGAGAGCAUGUGUAUUAAUCUAUUAUUGAUAGAACAAGCUAGCGUCAUAAAGAGACAUAGAAUGUGAAUUGAGCUUAGAUUAUAGCAAUGUUUAAGUGUCAUAAAGAGGCACUAAACAUAGUGAAUGUGGGAACUUCACCUUGAGCUUUGGACUUAGUAAAGCUAAGGUCAUUGACAUAGAAUUUUUAUUGAACGGUUAAACCUUCACAUCGAGACAUUGAACUAGAUCUUCGAGAUGCUAGUGACUUUUACCAUGUUAGAGACAUGAUGACUGUUGGGUGGCUAUUACCAUGUUGGAGACAUGACGAUUGGACUAUUGAGGUAUUUGACCAUGCUUGCUUGCCAUUUGUGCUCAUUCGCACAUGCUUGUGAGGGUCGCUCCCUACAAGCCAGCACUCCGGAGUUAGCCUACGCGACUUAUGUUCGCUCGUGCGGUAUCGAGUAGCCUACGGGGCCUGGAGGGAUAGACUCAUUCCUAGAGUGGAAAUGCUGGAGCUACCACUGGCACUUAGGCGGCACAAGCCGGACUACACCUGUGUAGAUCCUGAUUGAGAUUGAACCAGAAUAUUAAGCAAUAAGUGGACAUUCGCUACUAGCUAGGUUAUAGUAGUUGGACUCUUGAUAUGCUAUGGUAUAGUGUUGGACAUUUGGGCUUAGAGUAUGCUUGACAGUAUCCCUUAUUACAUUGUUGUAUUCUUGGUUGCUAUGAUAGUACAUACUAGAUAUAUAGUGGGCUCUAGAAUAUAUAUCACACUUUAUAGCAUUACUUGUUGCAUCAUGAUACAUUGUUUAAGUUUUGGGCAUAUUGGAUCAUGUAGAGUAGAUGUACUCCAUGUUGACAUUCAGAAUACUUGUGGCAUAGUAGAGUAGCACUUUAAUUUCAUGCUUUAAUUACUGUUGAUAUUUCCUGUUAUCUAUACCCGCUUGUUUUGGGCCUUGUGGUGCAAUUUGGUGCAGGUCAGUAAUUGCCCACUGGGAACUAUAAUUUAUAGUUCUCACGCCCCCUGUUUUAUGUUUUCUUUCAGAGCCUUCCACUCCGGGAGAGGCUCGGGAUCGCGGGAAAGGUUUCGCCUCGAGUUAGCUAUCGAGGGACUUGGUGAUAGGUGGCCCACCUCUCUUUUGUUUUCUUUUAGAGAGGUUGUGAGAGUUUGUACCUGGUUAUAGAGACCACCCUAUUUUUGUAUCUUCUGAUUUAUGUUGUAUCAGUUUACCUUAUGCUUUAGUAGUAUGAUUUUCUUUUGAUUCUACCUGAUGUUAGAACCUAGCUAUAUACUUGCUCUGAUAUCUCUAGUUAUAGAUCUUCUGAUGCUUUACUCUUCCGCUUUUGUGUAGACGCCUUAUAUGUGUAGACAUAUGGCGGGUCUGGGCGCACACCGGGCGGGCCUAUGCCGGGUCCCGAGGCGUGACAUCAUCACACCAUUGAACGCGACCAACAGUCGAAAGUUAGGCCUCAAUCCCCUCAUGGAACCCCUGGCCUUAUGGUACUCAUCUCGCACGGCGAAGGGAAUCAGCCCGACGAUACGGCUGAAGUCCCGCUCGUAUUCCGCUACUGUACGGUUGCCCUGCUUGAGACGCUCCAGCUCGCGCUCCAAGCUCUGCUUUGUACUAUCCUUGAAGAACUGCUCAUAGAGGAGUCUCCGAAACUCCUCCCAGGGUGGAUAGAUACUUUCCAGUUUCUUCUCAAAAUGGUGAAUCCACCAUGCAUAAGCAUCACUCUCUAGGAAAUGGGUGGCCAAAGGAACUCGAUCCUGCUCAUCAAUAUGGAGAUCACGGAAUAACUUCUCCAUGUGGGUGGCCCAGUGCUCGAUCACCCAUGCAUCAUCACUCUUCCCAGCGAACUUAGGCGGGUCGAACUUCCUGAACUGGGCCAACUUCGCCCGAAUGCGGGCGCCCUCAGCUGCAUGGGUAUCAGUACCCCCAGAAGGAAGUGUCGUGGCGGCAGCCGUCGUCACCGUAACCGUCGGAGCGGUAGCCGGUGCAGGCGUCACCGGAGGGUCCGCAGUCGUCGGGGCAGGCUGCGUCGGAGGUGGGGCCGGGGGAGCUGAAGCUGCGGUCUGCUACUGCAAGAACUGAUGGAACAUCCCGGAGAGGGCCGUAAGCUGACCCCUCAUCGCUGCUACCUCGGCCUCGAGCUGCUGGGUACGCGCAUGCCCCAGCGGCUCAGGGCCGACCUGCUCCCCGCCACCUCCUCGGCCUCUCCCUGCUGGACUGCGCGACGUCCCUGAACUGGCGCGUCCACUGCCACGCGGUCUACCAUGAGCCAUCUGCAACAGAAAACACCGUCAGUCGAAUAAUCGACUCGACCAACUCCCACCGGGACUCGAGCCCAAACCCCGCACUCAAAGUUGCUAUACACCGUAGGUCCUCCUAAGGUCACCUAACCAAUGGUUCAGUUUCCAUUGAAUUGUUUUUUUCGGAAAACAACCUGUGAGGUGUGUGGUUGUAUUAGAUCUGGCUCUGAUACCACUUAAUCUGUCACCCGGACCGGGUCUUUUUUUUUGUUGGAAAACAGCGGAAAACGACUAAUUCGUUUUUUUUGAACACUAUCUGGACCGCCAGAGUAUGUCAGAUCCACCCAAAUACAGCGGGAAUCCACUGUUCACACGGAACCAGAGUCUCCCCUGUAUUUGCACGGCACGUCCGCACAAGUCAUUAAUAGAACCAGAGUACAACCAGAAUAAACCACAACCAUAUGCAACAUCAACCGUCAAUUCGCAACAUACAGACGUCCAUACAAUUCACCUUCACAACACGACCGGAAUUCAUAAGUUUAAACAUAGAUCCAAAAUCUAUAUUAUAAAACUGUUUCACUACCCGAAACAGUUUUUGAAUACUUAAGUCUCAGAAAUCCUUGGAAGCUCCCUUUUAAGACUGUUCCCCACCGGAACCUGUUAUCUUUAAAAAAUACACAGGGGUAGAAUCAUUGAAAACUGUAUCUGAAUAUGAAAAACCCUUUUCUUUUUAAAACAAGUGCUUACACGAGGGCUUAGAAGACAUUUUACUUAAAAGCCCAUUAAAAUCUCUUUUAUCACAAUACAUAGAGCGCGAAAAACAAUUAUCGUCAGUCGAAUGAAACUGAGACCCAUGAUACAGAAGUUUACUAUUUAUUCAAGCAAGGAAAAGAGUAACAAAACGGGACGGAGCUCUAACGCCGCUUAGACUCGCUCUCACCUGUCCGUCCCUCGGACCUGCGACGUGCACUGUAAUGGGGCGGGGGUGAGAAACAUGCUAAACAUUGUCCCCCUCCCCAGUGGGUACCGCAAGCCGACGAGGGCGAGGGUACCAACCAGCAAAGGAGGGCUAAACAACAGUAAGGGGUAAAAACUACAGUAGCUACUAUUAUUAAGAACAGGAAAGUACACAGUAACGGAACUAAUGUACAGUAAUGAACUAUGCUAUUGGUAUGUAUGCAUCAACGCUGUGGAUAGUCAAGAUACCGAUACGAAUCUAAACCUGCCUUGUUUGGUCCGGAGCCUCAGGCUAAUGCCACAAGCACUCAACCUGCAUAUACCCAGUCGUAACCGUCUGAGCUCCAGGGUGGCUAAAGCCAACCACUUUUUCCGAAAAGAACACCUCCCUCGGUGGAUCAGACCGCUGGUGUCGUGAAAUGCGAAUGCAGUGGUGACAUCGAUGCUGUAUGCUCAUAAGCCAACGUCAGCAUACAGGCCGACAAUCACUAUGGCCUCUGGGCAUUACCGACCGCUAUAGGUAUCAAGACAAUCGGAACGACCGCAGAUAGUCAUAUGUAACGUAAGAGUAACGAACGACCCAAACAGGUCACCGAUGCAACAAGGGAACCGACCAAUCAGUCACAUGUAUAGUACUUACUAAUGCCAUCUUCUCUACCCCUACACACGAAUCUACGCCAGCCGAACCGCGGCCAACAGAUAAAUAAAGAACAGUAUGUGCAAAGGCUCCAAAAUAUAAAGAGUAAGUCAAUAUGACUAUGACGACUGUAAAAGAUUAGGGUUAGAGAAGACAUCACGAGCGUGCACCACUGUACCGACUUCUGAUCGAAGUACCACCUUUGUAUGAAACUGAAACGGUCUUCGCGAAAGUGGAGACGAAGAGACUCCGGACUACUGAAGGGUCCACCGGGUUAGAGUCUAACCCACAAACACAAAUAACACGACCAUGUCUCACACAAAUCCAAAAUUCAUACCCCUCGGAAAUCGGUUCUCAAACUGCACUCCGAACCAGCCGAAGUUCCGGCAAACCGUAACCGGAACUCCACCGUCGCUCACCGUCGUUUCUGAACCCUCGAGACGACAUGGGUGACCAGGCCACAAGGCUCAGCCGACGAACAAUCAACACGAGGCCCGAUCGGAUGAAUUCCGAGUCGAACACGACGUUGGCCAGCGCCGGGGAGGGGGGGUUCUUCGGCGAUCGCCAAAAAGCUCCGGAAUGACAGUUAGGUUCGCUCACGGGCUUGGGGCCUGACGUCAGGUCAGAGGUUAUCUUUAAGCCUUAACUGCUGCCACAGUAGCCAGCGACGAAGCGAAACGCAAAAGGAUCCCUUAAUGGCCUGAAAUCACAUGUAUUUUAUGUGAUUUCAUGGCUCUAACGAGUCGUACCAGCAAACCGGGCGAUCUACGGAGAUUGCCAUCGCUACUUGCUGCAACGGUUUCAGCACGGCCUGAGGCGUGCUCACCCUUUCGGAGCACGCUGCCGCAGCAAACCACCGCGCGCAACGAGGACGCGAACCUCAGCGAAACAGUGCGCACACUGUCGAAAACAGCCUUUUCUUACUAACCAGCGGCGUCAUUGGCUAACAUGGAGGUGAGCGUCGUGCUCUCAGACUGAGCCACGAUCCCGUGUCCCUUCCCGAGGUGCCAGGGGGUAAUCAAUCGAAUCACCGAAAGGUGGCCGUAACGCAAAACAGCAGUGCUGGAACCAAAUAAAACUACUCACCGGAGCUGUUGGGAGCUAGGGAUGCUCGCCGACGAUCUGACCGCGGGCACUCCGGCGGUGAUGCGGAGCAAGCAGGUUCGGGGAGGUCCGGGGGAGUGCUGGCCGCGGCAGGCAGGCAGCCGGUUUGGCGCGGCGGCUGGAACGAUCGGGCCGCACACUUCCCUCUCCGGGUUGGAGCUUGCGCGGCGAGCGCGUGCCGGGUUUUGAGGCUCGACGGCGGCGGAUGACCGGUGCGGAGACCGAGAGGAGUGGCUGCUCGGGCUAACAGGCCUCUCUCCAAGCCACAAGGCUUAACGCGGUGGUGAGGUGCGUCCAGGAGAGGAGGAAGUUGGCUACAGGCUGUUUUCGGCGGCCGGGGCUGCUCGGCGGCGGCCGGAACGUGAGCACGGGCAGGGCAGGGAGGUGCUGGGGUGACAGGGGCGGCUGGGGUCAGCUGGGGGGGGUUCUAGGGUUAGGGUUAGCUCAAGAAACCCUAGGUCAACCUAUAUAUAGGUGCUGCGACUUUGCGGAAAACCCCCUUCAAGGCUGAACGGUUUAAACCCAGCUCCCUGCUAGCGAGUGCUUUAUACACAACAGUCCCUCCGAGUUCGAAAACUCGCAAAUCGACGCAUAAAUUAUCCGGUCAUUUCGCGAAUAAUCCGAUUACUCAAAUCAGCCCCUUCGCGGACUUUUCGCGAUUCCCGGAGAUCCGUCCGUCGGAUUUCCGAUCGGAUCGCACCAGCGCGAUCAGCACGACAGAGGCAUCGGAUCUAGCAUUUCAUUUCGCCCGAAAAGGUUUCCGAUUUGCGACAAAACCAUCCCUCCAAGGUUCCACCAAAACCCACAUAUAGACGACUAUAUGCAAAAACCAUUAAACCCCUUUUUCUCAAAAUCCGUGCAUCCAAAUCCAAUUCCGUCAGUGCCAUUGGGUCCAAGAUAGUCGAGCGGUUGAAAAUGAGCUAUUGGAAGGCUAUAUUUGGAGUCCGAUACGCGUCGAAAGUCCACUCUACUCCGCGGCCUCUCCGAAAAAUCGGAGUUACUAUUCACUUAAGUCAAACUUCCGGGUCGCGUAACUUCUCCGUUUUAACUCGUUUUCUCCUGAAAUUUGACGAGUACACUUAUAAUUAUAUUACACACAAGAACAUCGUCAAACAAAAGGGUUUAAUCAAUAAAUCAAAAAUCUCAGUUAUUACAAUCGGGGGAGCGACACUACUCCGCGAUGGCCAAGGCUAGCGCUAGGGUUUCUCGAAGGGACCGGAGGAGCUCGGAGGCGAGGGGGUUCGUGGCGAGGUUAUAGAGGUCGCCGACGGCGAAGGAGAGACGGGAGGCGGCUGCGGCGACGCCACACCACCGACCACGAAAGCAUCGCGUGGUGUCGGCGGUGGAAAAUAUGGCGGAGAGGAGGAGGCGAAGGUCAGCGUCGGCGUCUUCCUCCGCGACCGCGGCUCCUCCUUCUCUAUCGCGAUCGCCCGCUGUAUCUCCUCCCUCGCUGGCGACGAUGAAGAGGGAAAAGGAAUAGGGAAAGGAAGAAGAAGGGGGUAAAAUUAUCAAUUCACCUUAUUAAUUAACCAUGGUUAAGUAUUUUAACUGUGGUUAACGAAAUUUCUCUAACGGAAACUAACGGUAUGGACACAUCUGAAUACAUUAGGACUUUUGUAGGGAUAACUUAUGAAAGUUGAGUUUUGCAGGGAUAUAUCUGCAAUUCACCAUUUUUGCAAGGACGUCUGUGCAAUUAACCGUUUUAUAUUUGUAACUUAAGAUUUGAUUUAAAAUUUAAAAUUUAAAAGUUACAAAUUUAAAUUUUUAAAUUUGAGAUUUAAAAUAUAGAUUUUAAUUUUAAAUUUUAAAUUUUAAAUUUUAAAUUUUAAAUUUUUAUUUUUAAUUAUCUAAAUAUUAAAUGUGACAUUUUAUAUUUGUAAUUUUAUAUUUGUUAGAUUUGAUUUAAAAUCUAAAAUUAAAAUUUAUAACUUUAAAUUGUUAUAUUUGAAAUUUAAAAAUAUAGAUUUUAAUUUUGAAUUUUUUAAUUGUAAAAUUUAUCUAUUUAAAUUUAAAAUUUUAAAUAUAAAAUAAUAAAUUCAAAUUCAAAUAUAAUAAUUAGAGCAAUAUCAUUAUUUUUUAUUUAUAACUACCACGUUUCUUCUUAUUCCAUCUUAUCUAUCAAACGUUACUUUUCUUAAUCUGGGAAACAACUCAAUUAUUAUCCAAACGCAAAAUUAGUCUAUUCCAGGCUUAACCCUGAACUUAACCAUAUCCCUGGAAUAACUAGUUCUUACUUAACCUCGAAUCAAACGAACCCUUAGGGUUGAGUGGUCUCCCUAAGGUUGGGUGGUCCUUACUAGAUUAUAAUAUCUAAUGCAAUGAUUAGAAAUGAUGAAACUAAUUGAUCAAAAAGCUAAAACCUCGGUAGCAAAAAGUGUCUUUUACUAUCAACAGUAUUCUAGCCUACUAUAUAUAUAUAUAUAUAUAUAUAGAGAGAGAGAGAGAGAGAGAGUUAGGCUGGAAUACUCUUGUAACGCACUGAACCUUUGCAAAUUGCAAGGUUCGAGUGAUUGAUUGUGUUCUGAGCUUUUUCAGACUUUCUGGUGGGUCGUUGACAGUGUUCCGACCUAUGGUUCGAGUCCCGAGAAUUGUGGUUUAAAGCUGUCAUGCCCCGGGACCGGCAGAGGCCCUCCCGGUAGCGUGCCCAGACCCGCCAUAUGUCUACACAUAUAAGGCGUCUACAGUAAAAGCGGAAGUAAAGCAAGAAAUAGAACAAAUACAAAGAAGUAGAAUAACUAGCAACUAAUGAUAUCAGAGCAAGUAAAGUUUUAUCAUCUACACCAAGGUAAUGAAACAAGGCUAAGAUCCAAAUAUAUCCAUAAAGUAGUACAAAUCUAACUCCCAAAAAGAAAUACAAAGAUCUAAAAGGAGGUGGUCUCUAUACAUAAACGGGUACAACGCUCAACCUCUCACAAAAUAAAACCACGAGAGGUAGACCACCUAUCGAAUCGCCCUCGAAGGAAGCUAGCUCGAAGCAACUCCCUUCCCGCGGUCCCUAGCCUCUCCCGGCGCGGAAGGCUCUGAAAGAAAACACAAAACAGAGAGCGUGAGAACUAUAAUUUAUAGUUCCCAGUGGGCAAUUACUGACCUCAGCUCAAUGCACCACUAGGCCCCAAAAGAAAAGGGUAAGUACUAUAAGCAAUAAUAAGAGUAAUAGCAACAACAGUACGAAAGCAUAAUUGAAGUGCUAAACCACUAUAUCUCAAGUAAACAUGAUAAACAAGUAAUCCUCACAAUGCAAUAUGUUAAUGCAUAAAGAGUAAGCUCUAACCAAGCAACCGAGUAUACUACAAUGCAACAAUGAAACCGGCAAGUAUGCUGUAUGUACCAAUGCUAUAUCAUGAGCAUGUCAAAGUAAUCCAACCACUAAACCUAACUAGUAAGUCUUGUGCCCCUUUGUGACACUUCGACAUUUUAAUGAGCAAGUAUAUCCAACUCUUUCAAUGGCACUAUCCACUAGUUUUACACAUGACCCGAGUUCAAUGCCCCUUCAUGACAUUAGCCCAAUUAUUCACGAAUAACACAAGUUCCCGAGCCUCUUUUUGGCUUACCAAGAACCUUUAAGUUCCAUAUUGGACUAACCUUAAAUGCAUGCAAAAGGUACUCAUCUUCACAAUAGAAGUUACGAUUCCAAGUCUAAAAAGGAUGCCAAAUAUAUGCGAGUACCACAUGCUAGUUCUCUACUAUAUAGAGGUCCGAAAUUUUCUUACACAUAACAUAGGCAUAUGAAGCAUCCUAAAAUUCACAAUAAAUAUAUCUAACAUGAUUAUGCAUGCUUUUUCAAUUUACGAAACAUAUUUCACCAUAUAUGAGUAUUUCUCAUAUAAAGGCUAGGUCAAACCCACCGAACCGUCGCGUAGGGCUUCGAUUUGCCGAACAAAGUUGCUCCCGAGUCUCAAAAUGCCCUAGAAGUGAUCAGCGAAGAGAUACGAGAGCAUUACGACCAACCAAGAGAUCAAACAUUAACCUAGGAGCAAAAAGGGCCAAAGCUCACCUCAAGAGUAAAAAUCCUCUCUUAAGCUCCGAAUGAGGGCUAGGAUCCUUCAAAUCCAAGCCUUAGGAAGGUUCUAAUCCAAUUAAUUUAGCCUCAAAAGCCCUAGAUCAAAAAGCCCCAAAAAUCAACCCUAAUAUCCAAUCUAGGGUUCCAACUCACAAACUUAGCAAAACAUGGAUUAAAAGCUCAAAUCAUGUUGCUAACCUCUCAAGAAGACUCCAAACAAGCUCCAAAUCUUCUAGGGUUGAAGAUUGGUCCACCACCAAGCUCCACAAGCAAGCUCCAAGCCUUGCAAGAGUGGAAAGGAGAGAAAGGGGUUGAGCUCCAAGCUCCCUCAAACAAGCUCCUCUUCUUCUUCUCCUUCUUCUUCUUCUUCUCCUUCUUCUUCUUCUCUCUCUAGAAGGUGUAGGGUGGUGAGAAAUGAGGAGGGAAGAGAGUGAAAUGGCUAAUAAGCCCAUCUAGUGUAACAAAAUCCCAAGAGGCCCCUCAAAAACCCAAUAUUACAUCAGCCCGAACUGGGCAGUUUUCGCCCAGAGGGACCGGUCUCUCCCCAGCAGGGACCGGUCUCUCGCUGCGAACCCGAAAAACCAUCGUUCGGGAACCGGUCUCUCCCUGUGCAGGACCGGUCUCUCUCUGCGAAGGCGCGCUCGGGGACCGGUCCCGCCCGCCAGGGACCGGUUGCCUCAGGGCUACCGUAACACUGCUCAUUGGAGGACCGGUCUCUCCUUCCAGGGACCGGUCCCCGUGAGUGAAAACUCUCAGGACCAAACCAAAACUCAGGUUUUCGAACUUUUUAGGUCGGAAAACAUUCUACAACCCUCCACCAAGUGUGGAAAAGCUCGAAAUACACCCAAACACUCGAACCUCGCAAUUUGCAAAGGUCCAGUGUGUUACAUUCACCCCUCCUAGAAAGAGUUUCGUCCGCGAAACUCAAAAGGACAAAGUACCUCAAGCCUCCAUCUGAAAAAGAUAGGAAUAGCGCUCUCGCAGUGCGCUCUCUAACUCCCAAGUGGCCUCGCGCUCGUCGUGGUUGCUCCAAAGCACCGUCACGUAAGGAAUUUCUCGGUUCCGCAAUCUUUUCACCUCGCGAGCCAAAAUUCUCGAGGGUUGCUCCUCAAAGCUCAAAUCCUCCCGCAGCUCCAUAGGCGUAGCAUCCAACACAUGAGCCGGGUCGUGGAUGUACUUCCGAAGGACCGAUACAUGGAACACAUUGUGUACACCCGAUAGGUUUGGCGGUAGAGCGAGUCGAUAUGCCACCGGGCCUACACGUGCCAAAACCUCAAACGGUCCAAUGAAUCGGGGGCUCAACUUGCCCCGGAUUCCAAAUCUUCGAAUACCUUUGGUCGGCGAGACUUUCAAGAACACAUGGUCUCCAAUCUGAAACUCCAAGUCUCGUCGACGCCGAUCAGCAUAACUCCUCUGCCUACUCUGGGNAAUACAAGUAAACUACAACUAUUUCAUUUUUUUUUUCAUUCACUCACAAAUUCUUUUACAUGCUUGUCAUUCUCCCAAAAUACAUGAUUGUUUACAACUUUACAAUUCUAAAUCAACAAAAGAAAGUUGAUACAUGAACCAAAAAGGGAAUGACUAAAAUGCAUAACUUCGGUGGCCACUAGCUAUGGCGCGAUACCCUUGCCUCGAUCCUCCACCGCCCCGCUCACGCUCGGAUCUGUAGGGUUAGUGGUGUGAGAACUACAAAGAAAUUCCCAGUGGGUUCGGUAACCGAUCUUGACUUACCCACUAGGUCUAUUUAGGCAUAAGUAUUUCAAAGGAAAGGAAAAGUAGCCAACACUAAUGCUAAUACUAUACCUGUAAGAAAGCUGUCAGUGAAUAUAUAUAAUCAAAUAUGAAUGAUUAUGCAUGCAUGCUCUUUUCAUAAGUAUACUUUGACUUUUACCCAAUCUUACCGGUUAACCUUGUUAACUCCAAUAACUCGCAACCUAAAAUCCCUUUUGUUCGAGGAGGCUCUAAGCACUACAAGACCCGAGGAACCGUCUUCAGAGACCGCGCUCCCCGUGGUGACAAUUUUCGGAACGCACCGCUUUAGGGGGAGCUACCACCCUCAAAUCAAGACUUAUCGUGAGUAUCGAUCCAAUUCCCACGUAGGGAAUGUAUAGCCACUAGCGACAAUGCCACUAUUAUAAUAGGUUUUUACCUAUUUGUUCUUAUCACUUUCUAAGUCAUUCUUGUCACAAUGCCACUAAUUGUUAAACCUUGUUUAACGAUUCAUGUUUCGAUGCCGAUCAUGUCUCUAAUGUCAAUGUCACCUUUAUUUACUAUUGUCUUGGUCCAAGUCUCACAUUCAUACAAUCUUUAGGGUUCUACCAUACAUAUCCAUUAUGGUUCUGUCAUUCUCUAUGUGCAACUACAUUAGAAGCAUAUAAAUGAUGUCUAACCAAAUUUCACAUGUAAAAUUAUCCUAUCAUGCAUGAAUGAUUCUAUAUACAAGUAUGCUCAACAAAGGUGAAAAUAGACAUAAACGAGAAUCCGAUGAUUCCGGCGUGCACCCUCCACCUUGAAUAUUGUAGUAGAGUUGUAGUUCAACUCUCGCGAUUUUAGGACACCUAUCCCGCGAUCUAAACCAAAAAAUAAAGCCAAAUUAGGCUCUAUAUACAAGAUCUCUUACUUAAGCUUUUCGUAACGUCAAACGGAAUUGUCCCACCCAUCGGGAAUACCUCUAAUUAGAUUUCCAAGCGGUCAAUUUAUCUCGUAAACAACAGGAGGCAAAAGCCCCAAAAUCCAUGCCCUAAUAAUGCCAUAAUGGGAUUUUUCCUAGAUUAAUCUCAUCUCUAAGCAAAAGCUAGCUUAGAAUUAACUAGGAAGCAUUCUAAUACCAUUUCCAAGCCUUUCCAUCCCUAGGGUAUCUACUAUGAACCAUAGUUAACCACCAUUAGAGCACAUAGAGCUUCCACGGAUUUUCAUGGAGCUCAUGUCUCAACAAUGUUUCUAACCUUGUAAGAAACUCAAAACUUCAAAACUUAGGGUAAAAAUCCAAACCCUAGAUGUGUUCUUGCAUAAAACUUACUUUAGCCUUAAGCUCCUCCAAGUCCUUGUUGGUGAGCUUCUAGAGCCUUCAAAACCCUCAAAAAUCCUUCUCCAAGCCUUAUUCUCUUUCUCCUUUACCUUGGUGCAAGGCUUCUAGAGAGAGAGAUGGAGAGAAAAUGAGAGGGAGAGAGUUCUCCUUGCUGCUGUAAGCAAAAGGGAGAGAUGGGGUAUUUUAUAGGUUGCAACAAUAGCAACCAGGUCCCCCAAAAAUUCUUAUUUACAGCAGACCAAUUUGGUACUGUCAGACUAAACUGUACUGGUACACGGGUUUUUGUACCGGUACAAAGCUGCGCAGAGGCAAAUCAGAGAGCAGCCUCCACGGAUUUUACCAAAGUGUACCGGUACAAACCAGGGGUGUACCGGUACACUUCCGUGAAAUAACUCAAACCCGAGAGCAACUAUCUCUUGGUUUGCUGGCCUGUACCAGUUACAACUCGAUGGUUGUACCGGUACAUUUUGCCCAGAAUGUAGUUUUAGCUCCUAUUCAACUCUACUUUGCACCGGUCGAUGCUAAAACCUUCCUAACUCUUUCUAAACUUACUUUUAGCUCUUCCAACAUUGUUGGAAUGCUAGACGGAACUUGUCCAACUAUUUCUCUCGACAACUUUAACUAAUUUGGGUAAAGUUCGAUAUUCGCUUUCGGAUUUCAAUAUGUUACAACCACAUCAAGGAGAGCAGAGAGAGGGAGGGAAGAGAGAGAGAGAGAGAGAGAGACAAAGCUUGAAAGGGCUUUGAGUAAAGAAGUGGAAUUUGAAGUUGGAUUUUGAUGAGCACCAUAAAAAUUAAAAGGAAGAUAGAGAUGGAGAUUGAAAGGAUGGUCUCUUCUACCGAAGAGAUGUGAGAGGAAUAGACACGAUCUCUUUCUUUUACACUAUAGGUUACAUCUUCAAUGAAUAGAGAGAUGAAUAAUAAAGUAAGUAGGCCCCACAAUCAAAACUUAAGGUAAUCUUGAUACGUGGACAUAAUUAUAAGAAUUCAUUAUAAUUUAUAGAUUUAUAGAUUAUAGAUUAUAGAUUUCUAAGAUACCACAUUACGACCAUAUUAGUGAAGUAUUAAUAUUUAGUCAACUUAAUUAAACAGGCAAAUUUAAUUGCACUAGUUUACAAAAAUUAAAUAAAAAAUUAUAAUAAAUUAAAGUUUAAGAACCAAAUAGUCGUGGUCCUUAAAAUUUCAGAGCCAAAAAUGCAAUUCAGCCAAAAAAAAAAAAAAAAAAAAAAAAAAAAAAAAAAAAAAAAAAAAAAAAAAAAAAAAAAAAAAAAAAAAAAAAAAAAAAAAAAAAAAAAAAAAAAAAAAAAAAAAAAAAAAAAAAAAAAAAAAAAAAAAAAAAAAAAACAUUGCUACAUAUACAGUCCAAAAAAUGAGUGUAUAUUUUAUACCCACUCAUUGGUGGGCCAAUAAUUGACAAUUGUCUUGUCAAAAUUUUUUUUUAUUACUAAAAGAUCAUAGAGUUUUUUUUAAAUCCUUGGAUAAAGGAGCAUAAUAUGUACGCCCCAUUUUGGGGAUAGCAUGUUGGGGAUAAAACUUUAGUAGAGAGCCUCGCAACAAUGUUCCAUUGGAGAGUUUUUGAUCCGUUGUUAUGUAUUAAUUUUAUUUCUAUCCAAAAUUUUAAAUAUUUUUUAAUAUUAAAAUUUAAAAUAAAUUUAAAUAUAGAGAAAAAAAAUUUUAUAAUAACUAAACAGAAAAUUUUUUUUGGUCUUUUAUUGUCAGGAAGUUCUUUUGGAAGAAACGAUGUUAAUUAUUAAGUAGUACCAUGUCUUGUUUAACAAGUUUGAAUUAACCUAUUCGUAGAUCACACUAGUGGAGCCAUCCGUAUGUUACGGUAGAUCGAAUCAUUAAAAAUAAAUAAAUAAAUAAACUAAAUAAAAAAGAAAUAGCACGAAAAAAAAAGCAAGAAAUUAUAAAAUAAAAAGAAGCAACUUAAAAAGAAAUAACUAUUGCUGCAAUAAAAAUAUAGGAAUAAAAAUAUAAAAGGGAUACAAAAAGAAUAAGGAUAAGAUUAUAAGAAUAAUAAAGCAUCGAUCGAUUUUGUUCAAUUUGUCACGCCCCGGAUGUCUCGUUUUCCGGGCAUGCCGACAAAUCCGCCGUAUACAAAGGAGUUUCUCCUGUAUACGAAACGUCAAAGUAUCUGUAGAUAUACAAUACUACAAACAGUAGUAUAGAGCUGCUCAAUAAACAGAAGUAAAACAACUGAGUUUCAUAUACAUAGACCAAGUCCAAAAUACAGAGUUACUCGCACUGGCGAGUUAAGUAAGCUAUGUAUACAACUCGAAACAAAACAUCUACCUGCAGCAGGGAUGCCUCUAGUUCUGUUGGUUGAGUAGGGCUCUAACUCGCGUCGCCCUUACCUCGAUCCUGGUCUGCGGAAGGCGCAACAGCCGAAACCUGUGGCUCUGCAAAACAGGAGUAACAACUGGGCGUGAGAACUACUGUAAAAACAAGUAGUCCUCAGUGGGUGCCGCCCAAACAACAUCGGUCCACCCACUAAGUCUACAGAAGGGAGCAAAGGUAGAAGUAAAUGCUGGAAUAAAAUCUACAGCUACUAAUUACUACCCUAUCGUGCUCUAGAUAACCAACUGUAGGAAAUGUCAACACUGACCCAAUCCAAUCGGGACUGUAAACAUACCCGUCCCUGGGACUGUGAACGCACCCGUCCCUGCCCAGUUGAGACUAUCCAGCUACCUCCACGCUAACUGGUCCGUGGAGAGCAAGUCCAACCGGCAUGAGCGACACCAACGCAAAAGCACUAAGCCCGUCUCCGAAGUGGCACUCGUGGGCGCUACCCAACCGAGUAUGCAGCGUAUCUCUGUCGAGCUCAAACAGGCUCUCAAAAGCUGAAGUCCAGUAACCGACUCAAAUAGGUCUAACAACCAACUAGUAAACAUGCCCUCGGCACAAUCUGACGCCAAAACGGCGAACCGGGUCCACCGUCAACCCCGACGGCACCCAACAGUCCGAAACGGCCUGAACGCUACAGUAAAAAAAAUCCACUUAGCAUCCCAGCCCGAGUGUAAUUACAUUCUAAACUACCUGGGAUAAUUACUAUGAUAAUACUGCAACAGUAUAAAAUAAUACAACGGCCCCUAGGGCUAAAUCAGAUAGUUUAACAUAUGCCGAUUCCAAUCGUGUUUUCUCCUAAGUCAAAUCCCAGUCCAACAUGUACAUUUAAGAUUUACUAGUCAUGUUCUCAAUACUGAUUUUAUCCAGGAUAGCAUCACGAACAUCAAGCUACAACAUGAUUACCGAAACUGAAAAAUCAUACAUGUCGACGAUUACGGUACUUAGGAAUAAACCGAUGUAAACCCACCUCGAAAGCUAUCCCCUGGCAGCGGUACACUCUCACAGCUGUGGCGCCACCUGCUGGGUCGAUCGUAGCCCUUCGAACCCAAGAAUCGCGCUAACUCCAAGCUCUACACCAAACAAUUCACCGUUUCAGUCCAGUUUUCGCAGCAGUGGAGUACAACAAGGAUUUGACCAAGCUAACCUUCACCAAAUCUGGAAAAUAAGGGCUUCAUGGAUUCCUCUCGAAGUCCCGAAUCCAACGAACCAAGUCUCGUCGCGAUCCGACAUUCCUACGUCGCGUACAAGCUGAAAUACCCACGGUCGACGGUGAAUUUCAGCAAAACAGCAUUUCGAGUAGAAGUAGCAGAAUCAGCUGAAACCUCGGAGGAAUUGGAGAAUAGCUCACCACACCCGCUGUCCAACUCCGGUGCGUCGACGAUAACAGCAACGACUCGCGCUCGCACAGCUUCCUCGCGCUGCCCCGACGUCAAGUACGUGCUCGAUCGGUUCCGCGGCGCGACGUCGACGGCGAAAUCUCUCCGCGGCACUCCUCAAGCUUGUCCCCUGCUUCAGUCGCACGAGAAAGAGAGAGAAACGAGAGACUUAAUUAGUGAAGUGCAUGCACACCCUCCUUAAUUAAACAGAUAUGCAUGCAAUGGGAGGGGGUGUACGUGCAAGUUGCUAAGCGCAUGCAUGUUGAUAAGCAUGCAUGGGUACACGUGGCUCCAAGCCACCAUAAUUAGUAUGCAACCCACUCAAAGAAACUAAUUAAUUACAUAUUAAAUAAAACAAGGAUACUACACAAUUAAUAAUUUCAUUCAAAGAAAAAAAAUUGUUAAAUUAUCUAAUAAAUUUUAGAAUAUUUAAUUAUUAAAAUUAAAAGCUAACAAAUUAUAUUUUGGAUAUUUAAGAAGAUUUUGAAUAUAAAGUUGAUCGCUCGGACUAUAAAUAUGUCAUUGAAGUGUGUAAUUCUCUCAAUUAAAUUAAUUUAAAUAAGUAAUUAACUUAAGUUUUAUCAAUCUUUCUUUUAUUUUUUAUUGUAUAAUUUAUAUCUAUGCGAUCAAUAUUAUGAAACCAAAAUUUAUAUUUAAUACAUACAAUCUAAAUUAUUUAAAAAAUUAUAUAUAAACUAUUAUAUAUUUGAAAUUUUUAUAAUGAGAGAGAGAAAAAAUAGAUUGAAUUUAAAAGAAGACUAAUCUCAUCCUCUGGUGUCAAAAUUAGUGGAGAGAGAAAAAAGAAAAACUAAGAUGAAAACAAAGUAAAAAAAAUAAAAAAACUAAUUAGAUAAACUGGGCGCAACGCCGUCUCCCUCCACCCUUCACCCCUCAGAUGUAGUGUCCCUGAGGUUUAGCUGUUUGGGAGACUUCAGCAUUUGAGGCUUGUCGAUACGUCUGGUAGGUGUUGGGACAAGUCGGAGUCAUUUUGGUGCUAAUUAGACGCAAAACGGACUCAGCGCAGUGCGAGAGUGAAGUUCUGACACUGAAAUCUGCGUGCAGGAUUUCAGUGUUGAGUACUGGUACCUGGGUUGAGUACCGAUGCUCCAGAGAGAUUACAGAACUGAAUGCUCUCAGGUUUGCGCAGUUUGAUGCUGAGUAUCGGUACUUGUUGGUGAGUACCGAUACUAGAACUGAGUAUUGGUACUACAUUGGAGUAGUACCGGUACCCAGCGUGUGAGUUUAGUUCGCUGCGUGUCGGGUAUCGGUACCCAAAUUAAGUACCGGUAUCCAGACGGCAGAUUUGAGUUGGUGAGGGAUAGUUUGGUCAUUUUGAUUGUCGACUAUUCCAACCGACCCUCAGCUCAUAUAUAUGUGUUGGAAGUUUCGAGAAACACAUAUAGCUUUUCCUUUCUCUAUUUCUCUCUAGCUUCUCUCCUCAUCUCGUUGGGAACUUGAGGAAUAAGCUGAUGUUCCUUCUCGUCGUCUUGGAGGUUCGCUCGUGUGCCGUGGUUGAGUCCGGUUGAGGCCGUUGGAGGUCGAGCGAGCGCGCGGAGUUUCUCCCUUCGACUUCUAGCUGGUGUUGGACCAGCGUUCGAGAUUGGUUAAUGUUUACCAAAAUCGUCGGAUUUCCUUUUAAGUCAUAGAAGUUGCAGCAUAUGUUUUCUUAUCUCGAUCACCUUGUUUAGUAGCUCGAAUUUGUAGAUUGCAUGCUUUAUAUGUUGAAUUUGGAGCAUCAUUUAGUGAUUUUAAAUGUAGCUAUAUAUGCUGAACUGUGAUUUGACUUAGAAGAAAACUCAUUAAACCAACACUGUUAUUUUUCGAAAAGUUAACCGAAUUAGCUUCAGGAGCUAUUGUUCUUUUGUAUCUCCGCUGUUAGUGCGUAGUGGAUACUCAGAUUAGUGUAGGUUGAGUUUACGCUCGUGCUGAGGGGCGGAGCUGGUUUUACAGUAGCGUUUGGACUGUUCCGUACUGUCGGGUGCCGUCGGGGCAGACAUGGACUCAGAUGUUUGCAUCUUGUUUCAGAUGGUGCCGAGGGCACGUGAGCAUUGAUUGUUGGACCAAUUUGACUCAUUUGUAUUGACUAUAACCUGUGUGAGCCUGAUUGAACUCGGUAGAGAUACGCUUGCAUACUCGGUUGGAUCGUUCCCACGAGUGCCGCUCCGGAGUGACGCUAGACUUGCGUUGAUGUCGCAGCAGUUCUGUUUGGACAGUGUACUUGGACCGGCUAUUCCUGUGAGUGGUGUACGGUGUAGAUAUAUAUGUUUUAGUUUUAGCAACUCUAUACUUUGGUUGUAGCUCUUAUUUAUUUGCAGAUACAGCUAUCGCUUCGUAUACAUGAAAAAUUUUUAUAUUUACGGCGGGUCUUUUGGCGUGUCCGAAAAAAUAUGGUAAUCCGAAACGUGACAUCUGAUGCCAUGUUGCAUUUUUUAACUGAGGAUUCAUUAAUGUGUGUGUGUACUCCUCGUAGAUUAACUAAUUAAAUUAUUUCAAUAUUUCCAACAUCUAUGUGAUCAAAAUUAUGAUCCGUACAAUCUCAUUAAUUAGAUUGAUGGAGAGUGGAAUCUCAAUUUUGAAACCUACAGCCUAUUCUAACUUUUUGAAUAGAAUAAUGUCAUUUAAAUGAGAUAAAGGAGAGGCUUAUAGUUUUGGUGUCAGAUCCAAGAGAGUUUUGUUACUUUUUGUAGUUUCUGGUAUACUCUCAUUUGUUAUUAUAUCAUGUAUUCUUACUUUUUUGAUAUUAUGUUUUGUUAUUUUUUUGAUGGACUAAAUUGAUACGGUAUUCGCGAAAUAUGAUAUGAUUUAUCACUUCUAUACCAUCUUUUGCUUUAGUUUUAGGUAAAAAUGUAUGGAGACCCUGUCACGCCCCAGGGCCAUUUAGAUUUUUUUUUUUUUUUUAAAUCUUUUAUUUUAAAAUCAGAAUUCGCGAAAAAAUAUAUAAUUUAAUUUUUUUUGUAAUUUAUAAACUUAUGAAUUAGGAACCAAAAAACCUUCUCUGCAUCCCACGGCAAAAGUUGGGCCCACCUGUUAGCCUACCUCCUUGCUCUCUUACCCACCCACACAGUAAAAAAAGCGGGGCUCAUGCCUUUUUGCACGCAAUCCACGAGGUGGGCUUCACAUCGUGGACCGCUUGAUAGGGAGAGAGUGCGGUGGACCUCUCUCUCCCUCUUUGAUUAUAUAUAUAUAUAUAUAUAUAUAUAUAUAUAUAGAGAGAGAGAGAGAGAGAGAGAGAGAGAGAGAGAGAUAUAUAUAUAUAUAUAUAUAUAUCACAAACAUAGAGAGAGAGAGAGAACUAGGCUAGAAUACUAUCAAUAGCACCAAUGACUUGGUAUUAUUAAGUUUUUCAUCCUUGGAUUAAAAUAUGUGCGGUUAGGAUGAUAUGGGCCCCCUAGGGUUGAGUGGGUGGUUGGUUGAAUAGUAUAAUCGAACAGAUGAAAAUGAUAAAAGAGGUAAAUCUAAUGGCAGAAAAUCUGAUAGCACCAAAUAGUUCGUGCUAUUGAUAGUAUUCCAGUCGGACUCUAUAUAUAGAACUAGACUAGAAUACUAUUAAUAGCACCAAGCUAUUGAUGCUAUUAGGUUUUCAACGCUUGGAUGAAAAAAUGUACGGUUACAAUGAUGUGGGUCCUCUAAGGUUGAGUGAGUUAUUCGUUGAGUAGUAUAAUUUGACGGAUAAACAUAGUCAAAGAAUUAAAUUUAACGGCAGAAAACUCGACAACACCAAGCACUUGGUGCUAUCGAUAGUAUCCCAGCCAGACUCUAUAUAUAAUUCAGCUGGGAUACUAUAUAUAGUCCGGCUGGGAUACUAUUGAUAGCACCAAGUGCUUGGUGGUACCGAUAGUAUCAUAGCCGGACUCUAUAUAUAGAACUAUGCUAGAAUACUAUCAAUAGCACCAAGCUAUUGAUGCUAUUAGGUUUUCAGCUCUUGGAUGGAAAAAUAUUCGGUUACGAUGAUGUGAGCCCUCUAUGGUUGUGUGAGUUUUUGAUUGAAUAGUAUAAGCUAACGGAUAAAAAUAGCCAAAAAGUUAAAUCUAACGGCAGAAAACUCGGUAGCAUCAAGCACUUGGUGCUAUCGAUAAUAUUCCAGCCGGUUGUGUGAGUUUUUGAUCGUACUCAUAACUAGUUUUCGAUGAUAGAGCUUCCUAAUUGACGAUCCACACCGUUAAACGUUAUAUAGAGCAUUUAAAAUGUCUAGAAAUCAAAUUUUAUUAUUUUUUUGAUAUCAUUUACCUUGCGAUCAAAAGGUCACAAAAUUGACAAUUUUUAACGGUCGGUAUGUGAUACUUUCUAGUUUAACGGUGUAAAAGAAUUGGAAUAUGUUGAAUUUUUGAUAGAAAAUUCUAUUCAAUAUACCUAUAUAAAGAUCAAUAACUCCGAUCUUAAAUUGAAAGAUCCGAUCAUCCAUUUUUAGGAUGUUGUUCGAUUUUGACCGUUCAUUUUAUGCCCGUUUGAUGGACUUUAUUAUGAUCUCAAAAAAUUACGAAAUUUAUUUUUUAGAAAUUUCAAAUACUCUAGAUCAUAUUUAACGGAGUUGAUCGUCGAUUCAGAAGUCCUAUCAUCGAAAACAAUUUAUGAGUAUGAAUGGCCCAAUAUACUCAUAAGAGUAUAGUAGCUCUACUCUAUAUAUAUAUAUAGAGCUGAGCUGGAAUACUAUCGGUAGCAAACGGGCUUCAUUGCCACUUAUUUGUUUUUGAUGAUGGAGCCUUCAAAUCGACGAUCGGCACCGUUGAACAUGAUCUAUAUCACUUGAAGUAUUUCGAAAUCAAAUUUUAAAUUUUUUCGACAUCAUUGACCGAAUGAUCAAAGGCCUGGUUUUAAGAUUUAUAAUUUAUAAUUUUAAUUGAAUUUUGGUUAGAAAAUUCUUUAAACUAUUUUGAACAAGAUCUAUACUCUCGAUCUUGAUUACAAAAUUUCUAUCAUCACUUUUUAGAGAAUAUUUAUUUUCAGCCGUUCAUUUUUACGCCCACUUGAUGAACAAGAGAACAAUAUCGGAAAAGAAUGAAAUUUGAUUUCUAGAUAUUUCGAGUGGUAUAAAUUAUUUUCAACGAUACCGAUCGUCGAUUUGGAUGCUCCAUCAUCGAAAACAAAUGAGUGGCAACAGAAUCCGUUCGCUACCGAUAAGAUUCCAUCUCAACACUCUCUCUCUCUCUCUCUCUCUCUCUCUCUCUCUCUAUAUAUAUAUAUAUAUAGCGCCAUUCGAUCCCUUCAACCAUGCAUUUACCAACAUUUUUCAAUUAAUUAUUAUUCAUUAGCAGCUUAGUUCCUAAUUAAUAAGCGGCUUACACACACACACACACACACACACANAAUCCUUACACUUUGUCAAUUCAAAGCUUUGAAAUCUGGAACUCAUAAUUAGUAAUUCAAGAAUACUAUAUAGCCUACCUUUAUUCUAAUAUUACACUAUAUAUUCUCUAGUACCCGUGAUCAUAAUUAUUGACUUAAAUUUGUAAAAUCCAACCACCAAAACUCAGUUUGCUUAAUAAUAAUAAUCACCCGGCUCAUCAAUGUCAAGAAUCCGAAGCAAACCCUAACGCGCCUCUAAUGCAAUGCACGCCACUCUUUCAUGCAACCUUUUUAUGGGACAAACAAAGGCAUGCAUUAUAACGCAAGGCGUAUAGCGCUACUCAGCCAAUGCUAUAUAAAAGAUGUCAAAGUGGCUUCUUACGUCUUUAUAUAGAGAUAUAUAAAAAAGGAAUUGAGGUAAAAUAGAUUAUCGAAAUCUAUCUGGAGUUAUGGUUUGAUUCGGAAUCGGUUGAUACAAUCCAUGUAUGCUAGCCACCAUCCUUCAUCUACAAAAUUAAAUCUUUUAAAAUAGUACGUUUUCUCAUUCAACAACUUUACUUAAUAAUAUUAUGGUAUUAUGAAAACCUUAAUUCUUUUAGUAGAAAAAUAAAAAUAUAAAAAGAGCUACUACUUUAUAGAUUUAACUGUUAGUUGUGAUAUCUAAUAAUAGACGUUAUAAAAAAUUUUAACUUAAAAUGCUAACAUAUUGUAAUUAACGAAUGAUUAGUUCACCAUAGUUUUGCAUGUGAGGUAUAACUGGUACUUUUAUCGAUUAAUUAAACCUUUGACGUACUUUCGAUUCAUGUAUACUAUAAUUUUUUAGUGUUUAAAAUAAAAAUCUUCCGAGUUUAUAAGAUAUAAUAUAAAUUGUUCCGGCAAGUAUAUUUAAGGCUAAGGGGUAGUACUUUUAUUCUAUUUUCAAGUUAAUUCCCAGAAAAUUGGAUUUCUUAAGGAUGAAUUGAAGAGAAUAUUAUUAAAAAGAUCAUCGUGAUGAACAUCGUAAAGUAGUUUAUUAUAAUAUAAUAAUAGAUUGUCCUGGAUUACAUAAACUAAUUCUUAAACUAUCAACCAUAAACUCCAACGUUAAAGCUCCGUAUCAAUUAAAUACGAAGAUUGGUCCCUGCUUCGAUAUACCUCCGGGUCCCACCGGUACCGGGAGAGUUGAAAAGUUAUAAACAAAUUACCAAGAAGUUUCCAAAAAAAAAAAACCUGGUAUCUAUCGAAACCGGAGGGAGUUGAAAAGUUAUAAACAAAUUACCAGGAAGUUUCAAAAAAAAAAAAAAACACUUAGUACCUAUCGAAACCGGGAGGGAUCAAAAAGUUAUAAAUGAAUUAUCAUACCACGGUUAUAUUGAGAGAGAGAAAGAGGAUUAGUCAUAUGAAAAAAAUAACCACUUUUAUAUAAUUUUCGAAGAACGAAUAUCUCAUAAAACAUUAUAUAAAAGGAGGAGAUUUUUAAAAUAAAUUAUUAAAAAAUUUUGAAAAUAAAUAGAAUCCACUCGAGAAAAUAAACUGAUUUAGUUAUUAACGUGAUUUAAAUUAUCAAUACAAUUAAAAUAAAUGUUUUUUUAAUUCUUUAAUGAUAAUCUAAAUCAUUUUAAAGAUUCAAUAAAAUUAUAUUAUUAUAUUUUUUUAUUAAUCUUCAAUUUGUAUACUUUUAUUUUUGUAUUUCAAGUAAGAAAAUAUAAUAAAUAAAUUAAUUUUUAAAAAAUUAUUUUUUAAAAAUUAAUCUUUUUUUUUAACAAAUAAUAAAUAAUGAUUUCAAAGAUAAAUUUAUAUAAAACCGGGGGAGUUCUAAUUUAAGAUCGAAGCAGGGACGAAGAUUGAUUAAAUAAAGAAUUUUUUAUUUGUUUUCCUUAUGAUAUGGUUGAAAGAGAUUUAUUUUUAUAAUAUGAUAUAUUGAUAGAGAUAGAGAGAAAGAGAGAGAUUUUUUAAGUAGAGAGAGAGAGAGAUCUUUUAACUUUAAACUCCAUGUGUUACUACGAACAGGAACACAUUGGAUUAGUUAUUGGUGGUGUCUCCGUUUUUGUUUUCACCCUUCCCUACAUUACUAAACAAAAAAAGGAAAAAAAAAAAGGAAGUUACUACGUAUGGGGGAUCAGUACAUGUCUACCUUAAUUGACUUUUCCCAUGGACUAUCCCGGAAAAGUAAACAGAAAGUGUAGGUGAUGACCCCUCAACGUCUUCCCCCAAACGUACCUCUUUUAUAUACAGAUCGAGUUAUCACAUGACGAACCCGGGUUUGGAUUGAAUGAAAAAUCAAUUCUUUUAAUUACGAAAAUAGUUGACAAAGAUCUUGUUUAUCAUUUGUUAACUUAUCAAUCGUGCUCUCUAGAGUUCAAAGUUUUAAUCAACGAAGUAUAAAAAUUGAUUCAAAUAAAAUUUUUUAUUAAUUUCACUUAUCUUACAAUAGAAAGAGAGAGUUUUUUUUUUUUUUAAAAAAAAACUUUCUCUAUCCAUCGUGCGAUGGGCGAAACAAAUAAAGUAAAUCUUUAUUUGAAUCGAUCUUUAUACUUAAUUGAUCCUAAGUUUGAACCCAGAGCCUAUGGUUGGUGAUUCAAGAAACGGUGAACGAGAUUCCUGCCAGCCAUUUUUUUUUUUUUUUUUUUAUUAUUAUUUUAUUACGAAUUAAACCUAUCUUAAUAAAUUUCAUUUGAAAUUAAACGGGUAGACACUAAAUCGAGUGAAAGCGAAAUGGUGAUAUUCCAAGUUUCUGAAUCAAUACCAACAAAUCGAGUAAAAAUGAAACGAUAAGAUAAAUUAUUUUCUAACGACCUGUUUUAUCUACAUUCUAGUAUUUUUUUCAAUUCGUGUUGAAAAACUUAGUUUUCCACCGUUUAAUUUCAAAUGUGUUAUUAAAUAUAUCUUAAUACCAUACAAACAAACGAUUUCAGUAGGUUGAGUGUACAUAGUUAUUUAAUGUCGAAUUUUAAUUCCUGUUGUAAAACUUUUUAAACAUCUCUAUGGGAACCAAAUUUAGGGAAUCGAUAGAUGGAAUACUACGCAAGUUUAUGAUACUUUGUUGAUAUUAAAACGUUUUUUGUUUUCAAUAGUACAAAAAUUAUAAAUAUAAAAUGUGAAAAGCAGCUUAGACUUAAACUCUAUAAACCUAUCCGAUUUCUGCGUUUAGAAUUUAAUUUAUUCUCUUUUAAUUUAUUCUGAUUUAAAUACUACUCUAAGCUUAAGUUUUGGAGAAUAAGAUUAUGGUAGGAUUUUCUACUCCCUGUUACCAAAUAAAAAGUUUUUGGAUCCAUCCGAUCUCUUUAAACACAAUUGUACUACCAACUGAGCCGUUAUAAGUUACUUACUGAUUAAAGAAUAAUGAAUUAACACGUGUUACCACUAGUACAAGCUUCAUCCAAAAUAUCAUGUUGUUGUACUUAGAUGUUCAGUCUACUAGUUUAGAACCUUAAAAAAAAAAACCAAGGAAAAAAAAAGAAACAAAAAGUUUUUUUCUCUUUAUAUUAAUAUUUAACUCUAAUCGAGUAAGUUAAUUCGGUACGUACCUUUAUAUAAGAAACAGUACAAAAAUAAACUUACUACCUCAUAGAAUGAAAGGUUAGUCCCAUAGAAAAGGAGAAAUUAGUUUAAUAUAAAACGAACAACCCAUCUAUAUCCAGCUUCUAAAAUUGUUAGUUAGGAAAAACGUUCUUAUACAACUUAGUUGAGCAUAUAUGUUAAUAUUAAUUAGGGUUUUAUCAAUACUAAUACUGAUAAAACAUGAACGAUAUAUAUACUAUUAUGAAAUAAUACCGAGCAUACUUUCUACACGAUUGUUUCAUUUGUAUUAUAGAAUUUAUUCCCGAACAAACCAAGUAGGUAAAACCCAUACCUUACCUUUAGCCAAACUAGUUUAAGCUAAUUAAAACAAACCAAACGUACUUAACCAAACCUUAAGGAUAAGGUCUGACCUUACCCUUAUCGGGUAAUCAGAAGUUGAACUAAGGCCAGAAGAUCGAGUCUAACUCUAAAGUAAGGCCUUUGGGAGAUUCAAGAGCUUCGGGUACACUGGUAGAGUGGGAGAAAGAGAAGUGGGGAAAGAGUAUUUUUUUUUUUUUUUGAUAGUAGAGAGUUUUGGGACUAAAUUUUUUCUAAAUAAGUGAGCGACACAGAUAUCAAAUUAUCUUUCUCUAUGAAAAAACAGACAUUUUGUCAAUCUAACUCUGAGGUGAGAUCAGAGCGCAUCUCCUCAACUAGAGCUUUUCCCUGAGAUUGGUGUCCCUGCAGUGGAAGCAGUACAUAGAGCACAUGGGCUAGUAAGUACUUUAAGUACUGCUGUGGUCUCUGAUUAAACUACACGAAGGUGCUUCCAGAAUGCGCCGGCUAUAUAUAUAUAUAUAUAUAUAUAUAUAUAUAGCCGGCGCAUUCUGGAAGCACCUUCGUGUAGUUUAAUCAGAGACCACAGCAGUACUUAAAGUACUUACUAGCCCAUGUGCUCUAUGUACUGCUUCCACUGCAGGGACACCAAUCUCAGGGAAAAGCUCUAGUUGAGGAGAUGCGCUCUGAUCUCACCUCAGAGUUAGAUUGACAAAAUGUCUGUUUUUUCAUAGAGAAAGAUAAUUUGAUAUCUGUGUCGCUCACUUAUUUAGAAAAAAUUUAGUUAGGAAUGUGAAACAGUUAAGUUUCGAAACUUUAGACCUUGAGUAUUAAUCAUUAAGUUCUUAUGAUAUAUCGGAUGGAAAUAAGAUUAUAAUGUGAUAUAUAAGAGAUCAUGGGCACUAGUAUUAAUAACUGAAUUUAAACAUUUUAGGUUGGUGGUUUUGAGUCAAACGAAUUAUUAUUAUUAGUGGGCCGAGUAGUUACAGUUCUUAGGCUUCGUUUGGGAUUGCGCGGAGAUUACGUUACGUGCGGUGAGAAAGUACGUUGGAAAAAUACCCUGUUUGUUUCCGUACGUAAUAUUGCGUUCCGCAUAUCGCGAUGAGUCGGUUACGAUAUAUUUUCUACAGUUUCACCGAAGAAUGCAGAAAUAUAUCUCUAUAUAUUUUUUCCUUAACUCCAUUUUAUCUAAUAGCUUUAGAUAGACCUCAAUACCAAACUAAGCCUUAGCCAACUAUGUUAGGUACAUACGAUCGGUGGUAGGAAGUAGAUGUUUUAAUUUAGAAAAUUUUAUCAUGCAAAAGAGUAAGUUGUUGAAAUGAAUUAUUAUAAUACCAUAAUACUUUUGGAAUUAAGAAAAUCAUCUUUUUAUUUUUAUAUUUUUCUCGAUGAUGAAAUAUCUAAAUUGACAAUCAACACUAUAGAUUAUUAUCUGCAAUAUUUUUUAAAAUUGAAUUUUACGAUUGUAUAACAUUAAUUGCUUACUAAUCAAGUGGUAUCAAAACGUACACUCCAUAUUGACCAUGAAAAUAGCUAAUUAAUUUGGAAACUGCAUGAAAGCUAAGUACAUAUGAUAUUAAAAAAUCACAAAUUUUAUUUUUAGAAGGCUCAAAUAUUCUAUAUUAUAUUUAACAAGGCCGUUCAUAUAAAUUCCGAUUCCCCAUCAUGAAAAUAAGAUAAAAGUUCAAUUAAGGGUCUUUUAACCUAAAGAAUUCCUACUUAACUUCUCUUAUAAUAAUUUUUCUAGUAGCACUACUUGUAGCAUUUCAUCAAAUAAUAUUAUAUUAUUAUCUAACAGGACCUAAUGUAUUUGAUUAAGAAUUUGAUAGUUGGUAUUUGAGGUUGCAAUUUCGAGGCAUAGUUAAUUUAUGCUUCUAACCAGGGACGAAGCUAUAUGGAGGCCCAGGGUGGCCAUGGCCCUCUCAACUUUUCAAUAUUUGUUUAAUGGUUCUUCAAAGGUUUUUUUUUUUUGGACCAUAGAUAGCUUUGGCCUCCCUCAACUUUUCAAUAUUUGUUUAAUGGUCCUUCAAAGUUUUUUUUUUUUUUUGUGAAUCAUGGAUAGCUUUGGCCCUCCCUAGUUUUUCAAUAUUUACUUAAUAGUAUGGUGCCAAUAUAACUCUCUCUCUUUCUCCUAAUCAGUAUACUUUUUUUAUUGGUGAAAAUAUAUUAAAAGCUUCUUGCUUAUAGAGUAUUUUGUAAUAUAUUUUCCUCCUCUAAAAAUUUUAUUUAAUAAUUUUUUAAAACUUUUAUUUAUCUUAGGUGAGCUCUUUUAUUUGACUAAAUCAAUAAUUGCACUAAAUUUAAUAGUUAUGUUAAUUUUAUUUACAAAAAAAUUAAGAAAUUACUAUUAGAUUUAGUAAAAUUUCUAAGUUAUUUUAAUAUAAUAAUAUAAAAAUAAUAAUUAGAAGUUAAACAUACGAAAGUAAAAAACAUAAAGUUCAUUCUUUUAUAUUAUUUAUUUAAUAAAAAAUUUUUAAUUAGAAAAAAAAAAUUGUUUAUUAUUUAUUACUAAAGUUUCUAAUUAAAUAUAUUUUGGCCCUCCUCAAGAUUGAAUUCUAGCUUCGUCCCUGGCUACUAUACUCUUAUGAGUGUAGAACUGUUUAUACUUAUAAAUUUUUAACCAUUGGAUGAAGAGAUGUGCGGUUAGAAUAAUAGUAGUCUCCGAUUAAGAUGAUAGUGAACCCCUAGGAGUGAGUGGGUGGUUGGUUGAAUAGUAUAAUCUAACAGAUAAACGUGGUUAAAAGAGUAGAUCUAACGGCCGAAAAUUUAUGAUUACAAAGAGACCUAUACUCAUAACAGUAUAGUAGCCCGACUCUCUCUCUCUAUAUAUAAGUAUAAUUAAUACAACUAGAGCUUUUAAUUCAAUUAUAAUAUUCUAGCGAUAGUUAAGCCUAAGAGAUUAAGAGAUUUGAAUGAGUCUAAAAUUAGAGUAUAAUUAGAGGUGUCGCAAAUUUAGAUAACAAAGCAGUUAAUUAAACCUCAGUGGAGGUGGGACAUGCAUGUAACAUGUUGAGCAGCAUAAAUUCUUUAUACCUAAUCCGCCUUAGCAUCCAAGAGCUUAUUUUAAUUGCGCAUGGACAGCAUUGACUUUUCACCUGAGAAUCUGAGACUCCAACACUAAACAAAAGGCCUCUAUCUAUACAUGAAUGAGGGCUCCAUUGUUCUCAUAUAAUUAAUUAAGUUAAUACAAUGAACACAACACCUCAAAUGGUUCUUUAUUCCCCCACUUGUAACACCUGCAACUCUUGGUGAGCACCUGGGGGGAAAAGCUGUCAUAAUUAAGUGCUGGUGCAAAUUGAAUAAAUAUAUUAAUCUGCGUCAUCAUUUUGUGGGCCUCGGAGUAACACUCUAUAUAUAGGAUCCCCAUGGUACUCCUAGAAGUCGUUUUGGAAACUAAUAUAUUAGCAAGAAAUUAAAGAUCGAGCACAAUAACUUGGUAGCUUUUUAACCCCUUUGAACCUCUAUGGAGGCAGUUAGCCUUUUUCCAUGCCCCAAAUUAAAUAAUAAUAAUAAUAAAUCUAAUUAUUAUAGUUAAAUAGUGCGUGUCAACAUAUAGUGAGGCAUUAAGUGCCCAAGUCGACAGAGAGAUCAACUAUAUAUAUAUAUAUAUAUAUAUAUAUCACUAUAAUAAAAACGGUAUAUAGCGACACUUUUAAAUAUCGGUAUAAGUUAAAAAAAGUGCUGCUGGCUAAGUUACUGACACUUUUUAAAAGUGUUGUUUUAUGUGAAGUCGCUAGGUAUAGAGUGACACUUUAAGAGUGUCGGUAUAACUUAAAAAGAAUGCUGCUAAUUUACCAACACUUAUUUAAACAUUUAUCAACCAUCGGAACCCUACCUCAUCGNAGUGCUAGAGAUAUUAUUUUUAAAAUUUAGAAGGGUACUUAUGAAAUUGCCCCUUAAUUAUUUCAUUAUUUGCUAUCAAAAUAAUACCUAACCUUUUUAGGGCUAAAUUAGUCAUUUUGUAACUCAACUUUUAUUUAACCCAACUUCAACCAUAGUUUUAGUAACAGUCGUUAGAUGGAAGGGUAAUUGUGAAAAAUUUUUGCAUUUGAAGGGGUAUAUAUGAUAUUUUCAACUUUGUAGGGGUAUUUAUGAUAUUUUCAUAUUUGAGAGGGGUAGUGGUGAAAUUGCCCGUAUAUUCUUUGUCAUGUUUUUAUUUGAAUGAUGGAGUAUCUUACUUUCCAAUCAGGGUAUCUUUUCCUUUUUAAUCAAAUUAUAUUUUGCUUGUUGGGUAGAUAUAGGUCGAAGAUUUUAACAAUCAAUCCUUUUUGCAAGAAUAUGAUGAAUCAACUCGUAUAUACAAUUAUAAUUAAUCCCAAAAUAGUUAUGAUUAUGACUAUUUUGUACUUGCUAUAUAUAUGAUAAUACUUUAUUAUGGCUCGUAUGAAAGAUGUGCUAACAAAGUAAACAUAAUAUCUUAAAUAAGGGCUUGUUUGGUUCAUCCAUUUUGGGUAUGGAAUGGAAAUCGGUUUGAUCAAAUUCGAUUAAUUUUGUUUGGUUUGCAUGAAUUGGUUUGGAAUUCCUAUUCCAGACUGGAAUGGGAAUAGCCCAUUAGUCUUCAACUUGAUUCCGGUCUUCUAGCUCACAUUGAGAUUUCAUUCCGGAAACCCUCUAAGUUCUCGAAGCCCAGGUGACAAAAACAACAAAAAAAAAAAAAAAAAAAAAAAAAAAAAAAAAAAACAACGUAUUCUCUCUCAAAACCCUAUCCCUAACUCACAUCAAUAAAAAUUUUUAAAAAUAAAUUUGAUAUUUUUUUUGAAAAACUUAUUAGAGAAUAAUAUUAUAUUUUUCAUAAAUUUUAAAUAAUAUAAAUUUAUAUUUGAGAGUAAAAUUAGUAUUAUAGUAUUCUAUAAUUUUUUUAGUUUAUACGAACCAAACAAUAAAAUAUGAAUAACUCAUUCCAAUUCCCAAUCCAUAAAUAAACCAAAUGUCUUGGGGGAGUGGGCCAUUCCAAUUACCAUUCCAAUUCAUUCCCAUUCUAUUAUCCAUUCCAAUUCCACCCUUGAACCAAACAAGCCCUAAGUGUGUAUCUCUGAUUUGAUUCGCACAAGUGAUCCUCAAUUUGGCUCUAAACUGUGCCUCAAUUAAUUAAUUAGUGUCCUUUAAAUUGUGGCUAGAUGUAUAAAUUCUUCAUAUAUCCAAAAGCACACCAACUUAUUUGAAUGUCAAAAUAAGUUAUUAUAUAUACAUAUAUAGUCCGUUUACUAUAUUUUUAUGAGUAUUAUUGGUUUCGUAUUCAUAAGUUGUUUUUUAUGAUAAAGCUUUUGAAUUGACGAUUCAUAUUGUUAAACAUUAUUUAAAGCAUUUAAAAUUUUAAAAUUCAAAUUUUAUAAUUUUUUAACAUCAUUUACCUUAUGAUAAAAAAAUCUCAAAAUUAAUAAUUUUUAACGACUGAUAUGAGAUACUUGCUAGUUUAAUGGUGUAAAAGAAUCGAAAUUGAUUGAAUUUUUAUAGAAAAUUCUAUUCAGUAUCUAGAUAAAGAUCAAUAACUCCAAUCUUAAAUUGAAAUAUCCGGUUAUCCAUUUUUAAGAUAUCGUUCAAUUUUGACUGUUCAUUUUAUGUCCGUUUGAUGGAUUUUAUUCUGAUUUUGAAAAAUUACGAAAUUUAUUUUUUAAAAGUUUUAAAUACUCUAGAUCAUAUUUAACAGAAUGGAUCGUUGAUUCAAAAACUCUAUCAUUCAAAAAUAACUUAUGAAUACGAAGGGCUAUAUACUCAUGAUAAGAGUAUAGUAGCCCUACUCUCUCUCUCUCUCUCUCUCUCUCUCUCUCUCUCUAUAUAUAUAUAUAUAUAUAUAUAUAUAGUGUUUGUAGGUGGAAUAGUGUUUGAUCCAAGGGGUAUUAGUAAUUAUGGAGUGGAUCCAAAGGUUAAAAACUUAGAAGCAUCAAGUGGAUGGUGCUUCUAAAAGUAUCAUAGCUCAACUCUAGUGGAGCUAGAAUACUCCCAAAAGCACGAAAUGGGUGGUGCUUUAGAAUUUUUAGCCCUUGGAUGGAGAGAUGUGAGGUUGAGAUGAUGGUGGUAGGUGGUGGUAGGUGAUGGUAGGUGGAAUAGUGGUGGUAGAUGGUGGUAGGUGGUGGUAGGUGGAAUAGUGUUUGAUCCAAGAGAUAUUAGUAAUUAUGGAGUGGAUCCAAAGGUUAGAAACUUAGAAGCACCAAGUGGAUGGUGCUUCUAAAAGUAUCAUAGCUCAACUCUCUCUCUCUCUCUCUCUCUCUCUCUCUCUCUCGCUCUAUAUAUAUAUAUAUAUAUAUAUAUAUAACUAGGCUGGAAUACUAUCAAUAGCACCAAUGACUUGGUGCUAUUAGGUUUUCUGCCCUUGGAUUAAAAGAUGUGUGGUUAGGAUAAUGUGGGGCCCCUAGGGUUGAGUGAGUGGUUAGUUGAAUAGUAUAAUAGAACUUGGUGCUAUUAGGUUUUCUGCCAUUGGAUUAAAAGAUGUGUGGUUAGGAUAAUGUGGGGCCCCUAGGGUUGAGUGAGUGGUUAGUUGAAUAGUAUAAUAGAACUUGGUGCUAUUAGGUUUUCUGCCAUUGGAUUAAAAGAUGUGUGGUUAGGAUAAUGUGGGGCCCCUAGGGUUGAGUGAGUGGUUAGUUGAAUAGUAUAAUAGAACUUGGUGCUAUUAGGUUUUCUGCCAUUGGAUUAAAAGAUGUGUGGUUAGGAUAAUGUGGGGCCCCUAGGGUUGAGUGGGUGGUUAGUUGAAUAGUAUAAUAGAACGGUUAAAAAUGAUAAAAGAGGUAAAUCUAAUGGCAUAAAAUUUGAUAGCACCAAAUACUUCGUGCUAUCGAUAGUAUCCCAACCGGACUGUCUCUCUCUCUCUCUCUCUCUCUCUCUCUAUAUAUAUAUAUAUAUAUAUAUAGGGGUGGCAAUCCAGCUCGCUGUUCGCGAGCCAGCUCGUGUUCGGCUCGAAAUGAGCUCGAGAUCGGCUCGCUCGUUUAGUAAAUGAGCCGAACACGAGCUAGGGUCAGUUCGCUCGUGUUCGGCUCGAAAUGAGCUCGAGAUCGGCUCGCUCGUUUAGUAAACAAGCCGAACACGAGUUGGAUUUUUCAGCUCGUUUAAUAAACGAGCCGAACACGAGCUGGGAUCAGCUCGCUUGUAUUCGGCUCGAUAACAGCUUGAAUACAUAUAUUUUAUAUUUAUAUAAUUUAUAUUUUAUAUAUAAAUAAAUAUUAUAUAGUAAUAUUUUUUUAUCAUUUAAUUUUAGUAAAAUAAAAUUAAAUGGCAGUUUAAUUAAUAAAAAAUUCAUUUAUAUGUAAAGUUUCAACUAUUAGAUCAAAGUCUAAUGAAUAAAAUUUAUAAAUUUAUUUUUUAUAUAUACUUUAAUUCUAAUUUUUUUUAAUUAUGUUCAAUGAAGAUCCCGGACUAUCCACCGCCCUCCGUCCACGCACCCCCGCCCUCGAGCAUUGCGGCUCGUUUAUAAACGAGCGAACACAGAGUUGAAUUUUCGGCUCCCGAAUACUUUAACGAGCCAGCUCGUGUUCCGCUCGUUUACACCAUAUAUUAAAUAUUAUAUAUAAUAUAUAUAUAUAUAUAUUUAUUAUAUAGAGAGCUAUUAUGCUAUCGGAAAACAGUGCCAUACAAGUAGUUGGUGCUCCGAAUUUUUUAGCCGCUUAGAUGCAAACCUUAUUGAUCAUGUUCUAAGCAUUAGAUUAAUAUUAUUAACCUAAUUGGAACGACUCAACCUAGGGGGACCACUUCAACCCUAAAGGGGACCACUAUCCAUCGUCCAACCGUAGGAAAAAAAAUUUUUAUUGAUCUAAAGGCUGAAAAAAUUGAAAGCCGUAAACUACUUAUGUUUCCAUAGCAUUGUAGCUCUACACACCAACUACUUUAUGCUUCCGAUAGCAUAGGUAGCCCCACACAUCACCCUGACAAAAAAAUGAACGGUGAAAAAAUAAAAUUCUUUACAAAGUAAUGAUAGGAGUCUUAUAAUCAACGAUCAAGAGUAUAGAUCUUGUUCUAAAUAGUUAAAAAUUUUCUAUCGCAAAAAUCAUUGAUUUGGAUAUCUUACGCCAUUAAACGAGAUAUACGUUUUAUAUCGUACCAUUAAAAUAUAAAUUUUGAAACCUUUGAUCAUUAAGCUAAUAGUGUCGAAAAGAUUGAAAUUUGGUUUAGAUACUUUAAGUGUUACGGAUCAUAUUCAACGGUACCGAUGUCAUUUAGAGGCCCAUCUGUCAUGGGCUCCGGAUUACAGCGUUUCUCCGCGGCCCAACAGACCGGCCGUAUUACAUAGAAAUUUUUCCUGUAUAGAAGCGAAUAGCUGUACCUGUAAGCACAAAAACCCAAGCUACAACGGCAUAAGGAAAUGAGUUGCUAAAAUCUGCAAAAAUAAUAUAUAUAUAACUUCGAGGGUUCCUGUAUUAAUAUAAAAAAGUAUACAAACAAUCGCUCCCAGCGAGACGCAACGCCCGACAAUAACAUAAAUAUGUGGCAAGGAAAGCCCAAAACUAUCUCUAGAAGGUACUCCUCUUACAUAUUGCAGCAAGCUGGAGGGAUUCUAGCUCGCGACUACCAUUUUCACAUCAAUCGGUGACAAGCAACUAGCCACCGGACAAGAGAGGCUAUAACAAAAAGGGGAAACAACUGGGUGUGAGAACUACUGCAAAAAGACAGUAGUCUUCUCAGUGAUACUGCACCGAUCUCGAACGGCCACCCACUAUGGUCACGCCCGGGUUUCCCCUUUAGUUAAAAACAUAGCGAAAAAAAUUUUUUUAUUUUUUGGCAAACCUGACCCCAGGGUAUGCCCAAUCCGCCCACAAAUACAGGAAAUCCCUGUUUACACUGGACAGAGUCUCCCCUGUAUUUGCACGGCGUCCCACAAGUACAAGAGUAUCACCAGGAAACAACCCAAACAACCAAAUGAAUAGUAAAAUAACUGUACAUCUCAUACAUUCCACCAUUCACUAUCACAGUUUUACAUUUAGUGUUUUAAAUAGAAAUUCACGAAAAUUCCUUUUGAAAAACUAUUCCCUACACGGAUAAAGCCCUACACGGAAGGAACCAGCGAUCAACCUUUAUUUCCUUUAGAAACGCUACCAGAGGGGUAGAAAACCUUUUAAUUUCAAGAAAACACAAUUCCUUUAAUUACAUUCCAAAACCAACUGAAAAACUCAAGAUAUUCAAAAUAAUAAAAACAAACUGAACCUAUGUAGACCGACUAAGCUAUAAAUAGACACCAGAAAUAUAAAAAAGGAUAAUAGCUAAUCGAAAUAACCUGGGUCGAAGCUCUAUCGACCCGCUUACGACACGUACCCUCACUCUCGUCCCACUACUCAAGCCCGCGAUACCUUGAAUAAUGGUGGGGGAGAUAGAACAUUAAACAUGCUCCCCUCGCCAGUGGGUACCGCAAAGCGAAAUAAGGCGAGAGGCAUACUCACCGGAUCAGGAAAGCCUAUAUAACAGGUACCCGGUGUCAUGUGGGAAUAACAGUAGGUAACAGUAGUAAACGUAUAGAGAUGUAUAAGGUUAUGAGCAGUAUAUACCUAAUACAGUACAACCUAAAUUGAAAGAGAGCAGGACUAGACUGGAAUAAUGGCUACCGCUACUGUAACUUGGAACAGAAAGCAUAAAUGAAUAUCUACUAUUGUAGCAAGACAACUAUAAGAAGAUCUGUAAGUAUGCAAUGCAACGACUGCUACUAUAACAUAUUGCGUCAAUGGGACAAUCCAGUCCAAAAGUUACCCCAAUCUUGAAACCAUGCUCUCUCUUGGUCAAGCACCGCAAGAACCUCAAGCCAAAUGCCUGGAGGUCCGCACCCGCAACACCUCCCCGACCAGUACCACUGCCGCUCUAACAUGCAUAUAGAACCUCUAGGGCUCACGGGUUAUUUCACCAUUCACCACUUUUCCGAAAAAGACACUCCUUCGCGGUGAUCAGACGCCAGUGUUCGUGAAAUGCGACGAUAUCGGGCGAUCAAUCAAUAUGGUCAAUUGAUCAACCGUCAGGCAACCAGCCCGACAAUCCUGCCCCCAUGAGCCUAUCGGAACCGCAUAGGUCAUCCAAACGUAAAGAAGCCAAGAACGGCACUCAGGUCAACUUGAUGCGACAAUAUCGACAUCCUCUCAAACAUAUGCAAAUACUGACUAAUCAAGUCAACUGGGAUGGAACAACUCAACAUCCUACCCCACAGUAUGUAAAUGAUACUGAUCAAUGAGUCAACUACUGGUAGUAAGUAGCAAGAAUCGUCAACAAGUCAUCCUGAGUAAUAUGAUCUACGAACAUCGUCGGCCGACCUAGUCGACAAUGCCUACCCCUUAGGGUACACCGACCUCAAAGGUCAUCAAACAACAAGAGUCAAGGAACAAACCGACCUAUAUACCAGAUAUAGAACAAGAACAAAUCAGCUAGGUCACCGUUCCAUGAAAAUCACGAAAACCGCUCUACUCAAAUAAACAUGAUACAGGAUAUGCAGAAUAGCUGAGUAGUGCAAUAAAGAAAUAUGGUAUAACUACUCUACUUCUACUCAUGAUAUAAAGAGAACAACCGAGUAGAGUGUAACUGAACAACAUGGUGCUAGGCUCAACACUAUAUAUCAAGAUAUAUAUAUGCUAGAUAAUAACGAAAGAGCAAAGGUAAGAAACCAUCACCGAGCGUGCACCACUGUACCGACGUCGGAUCGAAAUACCCACCUGUACAACUGUCGCGCCUGUCUCCUGACUGCAAAAGAACGUCAACAGGACCUAAGGAGGGUCCACUGGGUUAGUGUCUAACCUACGACUAAGAAACCCUUAAAAGCAUAACCCCACAAAUAAACCACUAAAUACACAACCCACAAAUAAUCCCACGGAGAUCGGUUUCCCAAAACCGAUUACCGAACAAACUGGAAAUCCCGAAAACCGCACCGAGACUCUGCUGGGACCCACGGACUGUCCCGGAACUCACCGACUCGCACUACGAGUCACCCGCUGCCACUAAACGCCAUUAUUCAUGGUUCUUGGCAGCAAACACCUAGCCUCACAUCGAAACGAUUAUCGUCGGAUAAUUAUUCCGAUCCGGAUUCCCGGAAGUGUCUAUUUCGACACCGGAACCCACCGUCGCUCACCCGUCAUUUCCGAACCCUCGAAAUGACACGGGUGACCAGCCAAUAAGGCUCAACGACUACACAUCAGCUCACGAAGUACCGUCGGAAUAAUUUCGAACCGAACCCGCAUUCCGUCGGCGGAUUUCGCCGAGAAACGCACCGGAAAUCACUUUUUGAUUUCCGCAAA